CAACGUGGACAGGCGCUGACACCUGGGGCCCGCCACCCAUCCACGUCACCUUCUCCUUCUUCUCCUAGCUCCAUUAUAUGAAUCCAAACAGAGACCAAAGAGAAGAUUCUUAGUUGAAAAUUAGCCCAUUCUGAAAUGAAACUAGUUACAUUUUGUCUGGCCGAUUAAAUUAGGCCAGAAUACAACUCAGCGAGAAAGCAACCGCAAAUCAGGGGCACCGACCAGGGCCGGUUGGUCAGACAGAUUACUUCCAUUGCCGGACGAUGCCUCGCGACCAUUCCAUUCCCCGUAGUCCGUCACCGGAAGCGUGGGGAGGACGACGACACGGGACGUGACGGAGCUAGCUCGGCGUUGGUUGAAGGCGACACCUACCUAGCGAUGACACAACGGACGAUCGGAGUGAUCAGUGUAGACGGAACGAACCUUCUCUUCUGUCAUGUCGUGGAAUAAACAAUCGUGAUGAUGAGUUUGAUCCCGUCAUCUUUAGGUCGAAUACCUUCGUUCCGUGGAAAAGGUUUUGUGGAAUCGGUUGUGAGGAGUUUAUUUGCGAUCACACCACAUGUGACCAUGUCAACUUGCCACAUGAGAGGGCCGCCUGUAGGCUCUAGGCCAAGUCUAAUGCAAACACCUUGUGAUUAGUUGCACGAGCCCCAUGUGAUCCGCAAACCGUGGACCUUUCAUGGAUGACGUGCUUUCCUGUAGCCCCAGCCAGAAGCUAGGCGUACGGUAACCGUCGGAGUUCACAAGUUGAACUGAAGCUGUGGGGCAAUUGGAAUGUCAGACUCACUGUGUUUCCAGCCAGCAAGAACCCAGAAGGAUUCCCUCAGAAACAGAUGAGCACAAAAGCCAAAUUGAGCAAAAGGUAGGUAUGAUGCACUUAAUUAGAUCUUGUUUGGAAGGAAGGGGCUAAAUCAGAUAUUCGGAUGCUAAUUAGGAGAACCCCUAGGCUACAUCGCGAGAUGGAUCUAUUAAGCCUAAUUAAUUCACAUUAGCGAAUGGUUACGGUAGCACCACAUUGUCAAAUCAUGGACUAAUUAGACUUAAUAGAUUCGUCUCGCGAUCUAGCCUAGGAUUUGUGCAAUUAGUUUUGCAAUUAGUCUAUAUUUAAUAUUUCAAAUUAGUGUUAAAAUAUCCGAUGUGACAAUUUAGCCCUGUCUUCCAAAUACCCCUUUUAUCGUAAGGACGAACAAACAGAAGUACAAGAGCCAAAUCAUAAGAAUCUGGAGCUGUCCGGUAAUUGGGCAUAUUCAACUUUCUCCGAUAUUUUGGAUGAUCAUCUUCUCUCUCUGUGGAAUCAUAAUCAUUCAGCAAUAAUUAAAGGCCCCGUUUUCUUCCACUAACUUAUUUUAAGCACCCAUCACAUCGAAUGUUUAGAUACUAAUUAGGAGUAUUAAACGUAGACUAAUUGCAAAACUAAUUGCACAAAUCCUAGGCUAGAUCGCGAGACGAAUCUAUUAAGUCUAAUUAGUCCAUGAUUUGACAAUGUGGUGCUACCGUAACCAUUCGCUAAUGUGAAUUAAUUAGGCUUAAUCAGACUUAAUAGAUUCGUCUCACCGUUUAGCCUCCACUUAUGUAAUGAGUUUUGUAAAUAGUCUACGUUUAAUACUCCUAAUUAGUAUCUAAACAUUCGAUGUGACACGUGCUACAAAUAAGUCACCGGAAGAAAACGCCCCUAAGAGACCGCUUUAGCAUAUAAAAUUCAGCCAGCUUGCUUCCUCACGGUAUACAAACGACGACCAGUCACCAAUCAGUCAAUCACCGGUCUAGGCACAACUCUUAACUUUUAUCGAGAAGAAAACAACCAGCCAAGACGAUCGAUAGAGCAUUUGAGCAAACUUUUCGUGAGAGAGACUCAACGGUAGUACUGUAGUAGUACUCCACGGUGCGUGCCGAGUUGUGGCAUCGACCAUUCCGUUUGAAUGUUCAGAAAUAAACGACUGCAACACAGCAACAGCACGUAAGUAGCCACUAGGUAGAGGUGCCAUGGCUUGGAUGCCACGUCAACCGUGCUGCGCACGCGUCGUCAAACUUGGGACGUUGAGCGCAGGACAAGAACGGAGUACACCGCAUUUGCCCAUCUAUCUGUUUGGAAUAACACAUACUAGAUGCAUACAGUAUAGUAUAUUUGUAGUUCGCUGUCGUCACACCGAACAAGAGGUAGGCAAAGAGUGAGUAGAAGUAUGACGACGCAAGCUGCGAUCCGGGCAAUCCGGGUUGGAAAUGGAAUCUGUCGAGCCAAAUAUUCAGCCCAACCACUCAUGCCACAUACUCCCCGUUAACAAUCUUAUCCGCACACUGACACACAUGCACGAUGACGUAUAUAUGGGACCAACAAGACGAGCACAGAAGGCCCACGGAGAUUCUGGUCAAGGCUUCGGCCCAAGCCCAAUUUUGGAGCUCCUCCCCGCCUCUAUUUGGGCUUUUUCACCGUAUUUCGCUGUCUCUCUGGUGGCCGGCCGCCACCACCACCAUGUCUAAUGUGUCUUCUCCUGUGUUUUCUGGUUCAGGGUUCUUGGAGCAGACGCCGCGGGCGUGCUGCGGGGCGCCGGGCGUCGGCGAGUACAACUUCAACCUCACCUCCAAGUGCGGCGACCCGGGGGCGUACGCCUGCGACGACCCAUCCAACCACUGGAGCUGGGACGGGAUCCACCUCACCGAGGCCUCCUACGGCCACAUCGCCAAGGGCUGGCUCUACGGGCCAUUCGCCGACCCGCCCAUCCUCGACAACAAGCACCUCGGCUAAUCUCCAUCCAUCAUUCAGCGCCGGCUAGCCGGCCGGCGGGCCAGUACACCGGGACGGGACGCACCUGCAAGAUUGAUGGUGAUUGCUGUAGAGGAAACGGAACGAAAGGAAUCGGCGAGGACGAAUAAGGAUGCCCUCUGUUCAGAUUAAUUGGUUUAAUUUUAGAUUGUGUUGUUUGUGAUGUCUUUGGAGGGAUAAGUAUACUGGUAUACAUCUCUGCUCUGCUCGGUGUGUGAUUUUUUUUCUGUUUAUAUUACCAUAGUAGCAGUUUAGCACAGAUGUGUAGUGCUUCCCGUAGUCAAGAAAAUUGAGCAGGAAGAAGGUUGGGCGCCAUUUUAUUGUUGCUUGCUUCGUCACACUGUGCUCUGAGCAUAGUACGUCCUUCCAUAAAAAAUUCUCCAUGACCGAAGCAAACCCAACACACAAACUUGCAGCCUUGCAGGGGACUCGCUUCACUUUUGAUGGGCUCAUACCAUGCUGGGUCUUAGCUGGGCCUAGCCACACGAUUAUUUGGGCUCAAAUGACUCAAAGGGUUCACUUUUGAUGGGCUCAAGUCUCUUGUUGGUGAUCUUCCGUUGCCUGCCCGGAAUGACUGUUUUUUUAUUUUUUUAUUUUUUAUUUUACAAAUUUGCAAAAAUAAAUAACGAGCAAAACAUUAGUAGAACUAGAGUUAUACCGCCAGUUGAAAUAGCGGUAGGUUAGAAAAAAAUUUUAAAAGGAGCUACCGCCAGUUAAAACGGCGAUCGGUUACAAGAACAGCGGCUGGGACCCUUACCGCCGUUGGAAUGGCUACCGCCGUUUCAAACGGCGGUAAGUCCCCCCUCCCACCAUUCAGCCGGUGGUAGGAGGUGGUUCCACCACCUAUAGCCGGUUGAAACAGCUAUUUUGAUUUCGUGUAAUUUUUUCUCAGUUAAAAAAAAUAUAAAGUUAGAUUGGAAGCACUAAAUAUGUGAAUAUGUCACUAUUGGUUGCAAUAUAAAACUUCCUAAUUUGAGAGAGAUAGAGCGCUUUGAGGAAAUAAUUAAAAUUGAAUUAACUCCUAGCCAUUAAAUACAUAGCUGUUUCCAGCGAAAUUACAACAUAUAAAAACAAAAUUUGUGCACAACAUACGAACGCCAACGACUCUAGACUAAACAAUUAGUUAUAGAUUGCAGUGGCAUGUGCGGCACGGAUGCUAUCCUAAACAUGUGUUAUUGCUAAACCUAACAUGCCUUAGGUAAUUGAAAUAAUUGGGGAUAGAACCAUCUCUACUUUCUAGUAGAACUGGCUUUGCGAGAGUUGGGAGGGCCCGGCCUCACAGUAGGCAACACCCCUAGAGGCAGGUGGUGACGGUGCGCGAUCCUUGUUGUGGUGGUAGGGGCACUUGCACCAUGGAUCGGUACAAAUCAAGUCACCUGCGAUGUUAACCGCUCAAGGAUUUGCAUCAACUUCGGAUUGAAGAUUCUCCACCCUACGCUUGAGAUCAAAGAUCUUGCACUUGAAGUGGUGGAUGUACUCUUGGGUUGGAUCAAGAAGUGGAGGAUCGACCCACUUCGCAUAGCGUAGUUUCCUUUAUUGAGAUAAGGCUGAACAUGAUGUUAGUUUGUAGCACGAAAAGCUUAGCAAGAGUAAGGAAGUAAUAACAUGGAGAUAAUUCCUUAUUUGACACCAGACAAAUGACCCGUUCCUUCCUUGGCCCUCAAACUUUUUUCCUUCCUUAUUUGACACUGACUUCAACUUUUAUUCCCAAAUUGACACUCUAUUCAAUUUUCCAUCCGAACACUGUUAAAUUCCAUACGAAAAGAUAAUUUUGCCCCUAUGGGCCCUACCACCCUUCUCCCUUCUCUUCUUCACACUGCACGGGCCCUUCUCCCUCCGGGCCAGCAAGCUAGGCCCAUGCAGGCGCACGUCUCCGCCGAGCGGAGCAUGGAGGCCGUCGGCGAGGGGUUAGUGGUGGAGGAGGAGGACAUGGUGAGGCUGUUCGUGGGCCUCCCCGCGACCGUGGUGGUCUUGGAUGGCCGCAGGGUGUGCUGCACGAGGGCUGUCUCGGUGGCGCUGCGCGCGCUCAAGCUGCUCGGCAUCAACGGCAUGGAGCUGUCAGUGUCGUGGGCUGCCGUGCAGCCCACGCCCGGGGGUUGAUUCGAGUGGGCUAGGUACCACGCCGUCACCGCCAUGGUCCGCGACGCGGGCUCGACCUCCGCCUCUUGCUCCACACCUAUGGCCUUCGAGUUGCCGGAGUCUUCUGCCUUCUUCUGGGAGCCAGGGGGCUCGUGGAAUACCGCGUACGGGGAGUUCUUCCCAUCCUGAUACGUCGGGGAGCUCCUGGCGCACGGCGACUACGUCCUGGCCAUGGCGUCGAGGGUGUUCGUUGGCAAGCCCCUCAAGCUGUCCGCCAAGGUGCUGCUCCUGUGCGGGUCCAAACUGUCGCUGCAGGCGCAGAAGAAAAGCGUCCACAACCGCACCACGUAGUACAUGUCCAUUCGUUGCCCCCACACCGCCGCGCCAAGCUGGUUCCGUGCAUGGCCCCAGCGAGCGGUCCAUAGCUGGAUCUGGCCCCGUGCUUUGGCAGCCACGCUCGGCAGCUCCGCUCUGCGACGUUGCCCGCGUCAAGGGUCGGGGCCGCACGCCAAGCCGUCGCCGCCCAGGAUCCGUCACCGGCGUGUGCGGAUCUGUGCGCCGGCAGUUGCACCAGGCCCGCACAAAGCCGGAUCCAGGUGUUGGAGACCUCCGUGUGGCAUCCGGCUGCCGGGCGUCACGGCCGUGCCGAUGCCAUGGCAGCCGGCCCCCGUCACCGCGCACCAGCGUCCCCGCGACACGUCGCGUCGGAUGGCUGGUGUGGAGCAGAGGGAGGAGCGGAGAGGAGGGAGAAGGGUGUAGAGCAGGGGCAAAAUCGUUUCUCCGUAGAGAAUUUAACGGUGGUCGGAUGGAAAAUCGAACAGAGUGUCGAUUUGGGAAUGAAAGUUGAAGUUAGUGUCAAAUGUUAUUAAUUUGAACUAACCUCCAAAACACCUACAUUCUGAAUAACUAUAUAAAAUUAUAACUCGUGCAUUGCCAAUAAAUCAACAAACUAAUUUUACUAUAACCAAAAUAACUAAGUUAAAUCCACUAUACCAACAAACUAAUAUUUGUCUAUGUCUCAUAUGUACACCUACAUUUGAUUUAAUACUUAACACUACACCAUUUAUAUAUCAUAUUGACUACUACGUUUACUAACUACGAGUUAAGAUAAACUACGAGAUUUCAAAUAAUACCUCAAGCGAAGCGAAGAUCCGGCAGACCUAAUCUUCGCUUCAAUCACCACCCUCCUCCCCUCCUCUCCUCUCCUCUCUUCCCUCUCUUUCUUCCUCUUCUCCCGGUUCCUCUCCUCCCUCGCUUUCUUUCUCUCCUCCCGAAUGAAGUGGCGCGCCCCAACCCCAGCCAUUCUUCGGGUUUUAAAGGGCGGGGCGCCUACCGCCGCCUGAUUCGGCGGUAUCUUCCCGCUCCCGUCGUUUGAAUCGGCGGCAGGUUGUUACCGCCGAAUGAAGCGGCGGUAACUAGCUACCGCCGUCUCAUCCGGCGGUAACUCCGUGGGCCCCAUGGCUGCUAGGGUUCCGUGUACCGCCCACCGUUUCAGAUGACGGUAAGCGCUUUCCCUCGCAACGUGCCGCUGACGUGGUGCCCCUGCACAGAUACUGCCGGCUGAAACGGCGGUAACUUUUCUUACUGCCGGUUCAAACAGCGGUAGCCGUUUCAGCUGGUGGCAUACGUCUAUAUUUACUAAUUUUUUCCUCCGCUAUUUAUUUCUGCAAAAUCGUAAAAAAAUAUAUAAAAAAAUUCAGCCCGGAAUCAAGCUAAAGGGGCGAGAAACGUGGCCUGCCCGGCAAGGGAAAUCCGGCCAUUUCUUCGUUUUCACGGUUUCACCAGUUGACAUGCGAAAUUUCCAACUCGCUAACUUGCCAUCCGCCACCGGCUGCCGUUGACUUUUUUUUUCGCCGACGGGGCACUGGAGUACCACACAGGAAAUGGAAUCCGUGUGCGCAUCUGUUAUAUGCCGCCCAUCGCCUACGACUACGAUCGACCUCCCUGCUACCAUGCGAUGAAGCUGCUCUGCGCCCUCUCGGUUCUCCUCCUCGCGUCCGCGGGGGCCGUCUCCUCCUCCCUCCCCGUCCGGCGCUAUGGCUCCAUCUUCAACUUCGGCGACUCCUUCGCCGACACCGGCAACGACGUCGUCGUCUUCGCCGCGCACUCGCUCGCCAACCCCUCAUCUCGGCCUCCCUACGGCAUGACCUUCUUCGGACACCCCACGGGCCGCAACUCCAACGGACGGCUCGCCAUCGACUUCAUAGGUAAGCAAAGCACACGGCCACACGCUGGCCAUCUCGCUCGGCUGAUGCAUGCCUAGCGUGUCGCUUGAUCAUAUCAGUGAUCGUCCGGCGUGUGCGCAGCGGAGGAGCUGGGGCUCCCGCUCGUGCCGCCGUCGCUGGCGCACAACGGUAGCUUCCGGCAAGGCGCCAACUUCGCGGUGGCGGGCGCCUUCGCUCGCGACGCCAGUUUCUACAGAGACAUCCCCCUCGUCGGCCCGCUCGCUCUCAACACCAGCUCCGGCGUGCAGCUGCGGUGGUUCGAAUCGCUCAAGCCGUCGCUGUGCCACCCCGCCCAAGGUAACCAAUUACGUGGUAUACUGGAGUACACGUGUAGGAGUAUAUCGAUCUCACGGCGUGCCGUUCCUACAGAGUGCAAGGGCUUCUUCCACAAGGCCCUCUUCUUCAUGGGAGAGUUCGGCGUCAACGAUUACAGCUUCUCCCUUUUCGGGAAGAACCUGUCGCAAAUCAGGUCCUUCGUCCCAGACGUGGUCAAAACCAUCUCGACGGCGACUGAGGUAAUUAAUUAACCAAUCAUAAUUCAGGUGUCGGUUCGCCGGAAAAAAAUUCAGGAGGCGAACGAUAACAAUUUUAAUUUGAUCUAAAAUUUCGAAUGACAACCCUAUGUAUCUUGUCAGAGAGUGAUCACUCAGGGGGCGAAGACGGUGGUCGUCCCCGGGAUCCCGCCGAUGGGAUGCUCACCGCUAAACCUAGCCAUGUUUCCCAGCGCCGAUCCGGCAGGCUACGACCCACGGGCCGGCUGCCUGAAGCAGCUCAACGACCUGGCCAUUUACCACAACUCGCUGCUUCAGGAGGCCAUCAAGAAAGUCCAAACCAAGCACAGAGAUGUCAAAGUCAUCUAUGCCGAUUUCUUUAGUCCUAUCAUUGAUAUCGUUGUCUCCCCUCAAAAGCUAGGUUAGUACUAUGAUUGUUAUGGCUUAUUGGCUCACGUAUACCACCAUCUUGUCAUUUUUAAUUGUCCGUCCCAGUUGCAGUGUUAUGAUGAUGAAAAUUCAAAGAACAAUUUUACAAGAAAUGAUCAGCUUGUUAAAUAAUUAUUGCAGGGUUCAGGGGAGAGAUUCUGAGUAGCUGCUGUGGCAAAUACAACUUCAACGUCAGCGCCGGAUGUGGCAUGCCGGGGGCGACGGUGUGCCAGGAUCCAUCAUCCUAUUUGUAUUGGGAUGGUGGCCACUUCACGGAGGCAGCCUACCGAUACAUUGCCAAGGGCUGGCUAAACACCAUAAACAAUUACCAUGCCUAGCUAGCAUGCAGAUGUGAGAUAAUUGACGAUCGAAUAAUGGGGAUAUAUGUUUCCUUAAAAAGAUGAUGGGAUCUCACAUGUAUUCAAAAUUUCAAAUACUUGUAACCUAAUCCGACAUUAUGCGCGAAUAAGAAAACUACAUAUUAAAGUGGAGAAUAUUGAUGGUGUUUGUAUGUGAAUUAAACUGUGAAGCUUGUAAAACUCUUAUUAGUAGCUUUAUUUUAUUCUUAAAAAACGACACCAAGCCUUUAUUUCCCCCAUUUUAGGCUAAUCUCUACAGUAGUGGGAUUCUUGUCUAAGGGUGCAAGAUUCAAAUAAUUUUAACAAAAUCUGCGGGUAAUGUUCCCAUCUAAGUAAAACUUGCUCUAGACAAGAUAAAUCAAUGAGGCUUGAAACCGACCAAGCUUUGCUUCAGCCUGGCUUAAUGCUAGCAUGACAUACAUGGACCAUGCUCAUGUCUACUUAUAUGUACUAACAAGAUGUUACCUGAUAUUUGCUUCAAACACAAGCGCAAGAACAACAAUAAAUUUCACAGCAACACGUGGACAGAUCGAAAUCCCCGAUUUUGAAUAAAAAUUUCACUUGAAGGUUUUGAUUGAAAUUUGCUCCUGAAAGUUUUCUAAAAGGAAGGAGGGAAAACAAAGUUCCUAAAUUAACGUGUAAGGGAGAGAAUAUAAAUUGUAUGCUAUAAUUAUUCUUACUACCCUUUUAUUUUGAACAUGUUAAUUAAUUACUAUAAAAUAAUUUUGGCAAGGUAUAAAUUUUAAGCGUAUAUAUUGAUUAGAGAAAUCAGAUGCCAAAAAUACACAUAAUAAUUUAUUCUGCAUUUUGUCAGUGCUAUAAGUAACAUUAGCACAAACAGUAACAAGUCAAUGGCGGCGUAAAAGGAUCUCUAUAAAAGCUGGUUUACCAAGCUCAUCAGAAGCAUACGACCAGAAUAUUUCUUGAGAGGGAUAGAAACCGAGUGCCCAGUUCUUCACGACCUACACAAUGAAGCAUAAGUCUCUGCCUGCAGAUCACCGUGUUACUCUCCAGCUUGUCUUCUUCGAUGCAAACCCAAUACACCUCCAAUGAAGCGCAUAAGUCUCUGCCUGCAGAUCACCGUGUUACUCUCCAGCUUGUCUUCUUCGAUGCAAACCCAAUACACCUUCAUUUUCAGCUUCGGUGAUUCCUACACUGACACGGCAACAAAGCCAUCAUCUCCGGCCCGGCGACACCAAAUCUGUGGAUAACCAAACCGCCAUACGGGAUGACCUUCUUUGGGCAUCCCACCGGGCACCUCUCCGCCGGCAGAUUGAUCGUACACUACUACAAAAAAUGGUUCCAGUACCGGUCCCAAAUUCUCCUCUAGUACCGGUUGCAUAACUAGUACUGGCAAUCCGGAAUUAGAGAGGGGUCCUCUAGUAGGGUGGAGCCCCCAUCCGGUACUAAAGGGUCUCCGGGGAUCUUAAAUUUGGAUCCGGUACUAAUACUACCUUUAGUACCGGAUCCAAAUUGAACCGGUACAAAGCUUCGAGACGAGAGGUCAUAUUUCUAGUAGUGAUAGAUUUUAUUGGUAGGUUUACGUCUUUUAAUUUGCUGUUCGCAUUGGAUUGAACUUAGUUUAAAUUUUGCACAUACGUGUGUAGUGUGUUGUAUUCUACUUUUUUCAACACCGCCAAAAAAAAAAGAUCAAUCUCCCAAUGAGGGCUAGUUUGGGAGCAAAGGGUUAUUAACCCAGUGAAUAUAACCAUCGAAGGGGAUUUUCGUGGCAAAUUGAUUCCCGGUGAGUUCCCUGGGCACCGCUGCCCCCUACCCCGUUGCUGUUUGGCAGCAAAGAAAGAAAACAAAGGGAAAUUAGAAAAUUGCUGGAAAAAUACAUAGAAAAAUGAUUGCUAGCACGCAUCCCACACAUGUGGCGUUCGACACCAUUUGCUACCAGCAACCCAUUUGCUUCUAAACAAGCCCAGGCAUAUGAGAAUUAGAAAACUCAGAAAUCAAGAAAAAAUUCAGCAUUUUUUCUUGAAAGCAGUACCGAACACCUUACAACAUACCUGAUUUUCAAGCUUUCAAGCAAAUCCUCAACAUAUAGAAAGAAUUGAAAGCAGUACCGAACAAGCAACAUGUAGAACAUGCUAAAAACGUUUUAUAUACAACAGAAUCUCAACAACAUAAGUCAGGCACCAGAAGUUUAAAUCUCGACAUAAGGAUCUUGACGAACAGAAAAAACUGAAACCAACAAUCGAUGCAGGCAAUACGCAGAUAUCAGGUUCAAAAUAGCUAUAGUUUCUGCUGGGAAUAAUUUGUUGCUGUAAGGUGACUGAUUUCCAGCCUACAAAAUGGUUAUAAACUCAUCCUGCCUAUCAUUGCUCACAAAUUAAUAUUCAGCCAGGACUUGAUACAUUUUCUAGUGGACAUUAAAACCAACGAGAUUGCAUGGAAAAUUCUCACCAGAGCCUACACGGGAAGGCAAGGCAAAAAUAGGUACAACUUAAAACUGGAAAGGAAAUGCAGAAAGAAAAGAACCUAGAGAUAUUUUAGAGCACAUGGUUUAUUGUUUCUCAGCAGCCACCAAGAGAUACUGCAGUGUAGAUGCCUACUAAAAAAAGAGCAACCACAUCAACAAGUGUCAUCCCAAGGCUAAUCAAAGUGUUGAAACUAGAAAAUCAUUGAAUAUAGUUCCCCUUUUUUCUAUACAAAAGUAAAAAAAAUGUAACAAGGUUCCAAGCAUUAACUGAUGGUUUCAAAAUAAGCAUUAACUGGUGGUUCCAAAAUUGAUUUGCUCUUUAUAUAAUACACAACUUCUAACUAUCAUACGCAAACAUUAUUCUAAGAAUUUUGACCAGAUUUGGAAGCAAGUGCUCUACAAUACCAAUUUGCAGAUACUUUAUUUGUCAAAUAUAAUCUCAAGUACAAGAAUGGCCAACAAAACUAACUCAUGGUGCACUCAAUUACCAAUCAACAUAAUUGCACAGAGAUGGAUAUACAAUUUAAUAUUCAUGUGCACGACACAACCAGUAAACUCAUAAAUAUAAUUACACAUAGAUGCAAGUCAACUGAAUCUAAGGAAGACAAACAUGGAUAAAGAACAUGAAGCAGAAGAUGCACGGUGAUGAGACCGUACCUGCAACGAGAGGUCGACCUGAGAGCGAUCAGGGAGGAGGGAGACGAACGUGUGUCAGAAUGUGCGCUCGCUGCAUUGAGCCCACGCUCAGGAUCUUCCUCCGUUCAUAGCCUUCUUCAACAACAUCCACAAGAAAAGGUGUGAGAGAAGAGGAGAAACCCUAGCAAGUGCCAGGGAGAUGCGGGCUGAGGUUAAAUCACCUGAUGCGGAGGCGGAAAUAGCAACAGAGUCCACGGAUCGAGCAACUUCGCUGCCGUAGGACUUGAGCUGUCGCCGGAGUAGAACCCUAGUAAGGAAAGGGAGAUGAGAAGGGGAAGGGGAGGAUUCGGAUGAGAUGGGGAGAAGGGGUGGAGGAGGCGCACCUGGACGUGGAUUCUUGGAGGAGGUCGCGCGAGAGUUGGGAGCCACGGCGAUGGCCGGCUGCAGCGGCGGCUUCUGCAGGAGCGGAAGUGGGCGCUCCUCUCUCGCUCGCGCGAGCGAGACGCGUGACGGGGGAGAUGAAGACUUGGAGCGCUUCCCAACUGCUGUAGGUUGGGCUUUUUUCCGCGUGGAGAUUGGGCUCACAUGGGCCGAAUAACCCCGCCUAGCAGGCUUCCAAACUCACCGAUGAAGUGCCCCGCAGAACCGAUAUGUGCAGCCUUUCUCCGCACGGAAACGGACUGGACUGCCAAACUAACCCUAAAUGUACAAUGUAUGUACUCAGCUGAGGCACUGGGGCUACCUCUCCUUCCCCUUCAUUGGGGAAGAACCAAAGCUUCAAGCAAGAUGCAAACUUCGCGGUGGCCGGAGCCACAGCACUGAAACAACACCGAGGAUUGCCCAUGCAGGCCGGCGGCGUAAGGCUUCCUCCGAGUAAUAAAAAUCUCCCUAAGUGACGAGCUGGGGUGGUUCGACGCCAUGAAGCCCUCCCUCUGCAGCUCACCCCAAGGUAAUACCUGACACACGCGCUUCACGACAUGCAGGGAUUGCAUCGUCGAUCCUCGAAUCGCUCAUGCAUGGCCUUACUCACAAUCUAAACAUGGCAGUAAGGCACUAUUGCUGAUCUCUGUCUGUACUCUGUAGCAUGCAAGGAGUACUUCUCAAAGGCGAUGUUCGUUGUCAGAGAGCUGGGUUGGAACGACUACGGGGUCAUGUCGGCGGCAAAAGCGUCGCUGAGGUGCAAUCUUACGUGCCCCAAAUCAUCGGAACAAUCCCUGCACCACCGUGGUAAUUAAUAACUUGCAAGAAGAAAUCAGAUCGGGGCAUCAUCGACUGAACAAUUACUAAAAAAAUUACUGCAUUGCUGUGUGCAGAAGCUGAUCAACGAAGGCGCCACGAUGAUCAUCGUAUCGGGGAUAUCGCCGCUGAGGUGUGCGCCGGGGACCUGGUGCUCCUGGGCAGCCAGGACAAGGCCGACUACGAGCCGGACACGGGGUGCUUGAGGACCCUGAACCUGCUGUCCAAGUCCCACAACUCGCAGCUGCGCGAGGCCGUGGCUCGGCUCGGCUCCCGGCACCCCGGCGCGCGGAUCACCUACGCCGACCUGUACGCGCCGCUCAUCGGCUUCGCUGCGGCCCUGGCCCGCUACAGGUUCGACGGUGCGGACGGCGCGUUGCGGGCGUGCUGCGGUGGUGGCGGCGGGAGGUACAACUUCAACCUGAGCGCGGCGUGCGGGAUGCCCGGGGUGAGCGCAUGCGCCCGCCUGUCGGCGUACGUGAACUGGGACGGCGUCCAUCUCACCGAGGCAGCGUACCGCCGCGUCACCGAUGGCUGGCUCCGGGGUCCGUAGGCUAACCCGCCCAUCCUAAGCGCGGCCUAGCGAUGCACACCUGCUGUUAGAUGAUUAGAUUUUUUUUUACCGAAUAGAUGAUUAUCUUUGCGGUCUUAGAGCAACUCCAAAAGUCCUCUUAAAACAACCUGAAAACCAAAUUUAGGGAGAAAAAGAAAAAUUUCACGCUCCAACAACUCCCUUGUCGUUGCCUAAAAAAUACGGCAACCCGAAUCCGACCUCCAUUCUCCCGCAUAUUUACGCAAGCUGGCGCUUCCCCCAAUUGCCCCUCGUGCGCUCAUCCUUUCCUACGUGCCAGUUGUUUCCUGUUAGUGAUGGCACAGCCGAUUCCAGAAGGCGAGUGUCGGUGGUGAGCUGGGCGAAGGUGCCAUCCACUUUUCCCCAACUCCAAAUCGGCAGCAAUCAGCUCACCUUGGUUCCCAAAUCGGCGCAGCUAUCCUUCCAGCAGUAGCUACGACCCGCCUCCUCACCUCCUCUGCUCCCCGCCCACCGAAGGCCUACCUCCACUGCACCCGAGCGACCCCCCUUGUUGCGCCCUGGCAUCCACCUCCCUUCCUCCGCGACGUGGAGUCCGACCCGUAGGUCUCCCUCUUCUCCGGAGCAGCACGCGCAGAAGUAGCGGGAGAAGCGUGCGUGCCCGCUUGGGAGAGGAGUCCGCCGGUGCUGAUUUUCCCACUGCUCACGGACUGUCAAACUCAUGGUGAAAAGAUAAAGUGUUCCUCCUCUUGGGGGUGAUGGUCUAGCCAGGCGUCCGUAGCCAUGAGCGGCCGCACAUGGGCUGCCCAGUACCCCACGGUUGGGCAUGGCAUGGCACGUGGCCUAGAUGGGGAUGGGAUUCAACGGGUGGCGCUAGCGUAGUCCUCGUCCCUUGUCUGCUUCGCUUCUUCCAUAAAAUGGUAGAAGAUGUUUGGCUCUGCUUGUCUAGCAUUAGCUUCGGUUAACCUGUUUGUCUUCUCUCACAUGAAGCUAGAGUGUGAGGGACUUCAUGGACAGUGGCAUGCCAACAAGACCUGGGCAUGAGACGGUGCCGUGGUUUGAUCAUCGAAUGGAUCAUAAGCGAUCGAAUGCCUUCAGUGUUGAGAGUUUGAGGCCGAAUUGACAUCGUACCAGCAGAUGAUGAUGCUUUUCUGAGGGCAGGGCAGUCCCAGCGCAUAUAAUACGAUUCAGCAAAUCAUCACAGCCCAACCCUUGCACAGGCAGCCAGAGUGCGAAAGCGUGAAAACGCUCCGGCUGAGAAGGAGGCAACCCAACUCAGGGGUCACGCAUGCUGAUGUGGUACUGGAUAAUUUAUUAUUGGAAAUCUGCUGUGGGAUAGUAUGGUUUUAGGGAAAAAAAAAUUUAAUAGAAUCCCCAAUACAUGAUUUUGGGAAGGAAUUUUUUGCCAGACUCUUGGAGAUGGAGAUGCUCUUAGUCACGGAAAUAAACAGUUGCUGAGUUUUUUUUUAUUCUGAUUUUUGAGGCGUGACUAAACUUCUCAUGCCUACGACUCAUCUGCUCCGACUUGGAACAUACUGGGCCAGAUGGAGCCCGUGCAAGCAGAAAAUUGUCUGACUUAACAGCAAGCUGACAGCCACUGACAUGCCGGCCUGGAUUUCUGGGUCCCAUAUGUCAGUAGCAAAAUCCCUACUUGCAGAGUUGUAGUUAUGGGUCUUACGUAUCAGUAACAAGGUCAACGUGCAGAGCUGCAGCCUACUGGGACUCUGCUCGAGAGAGCACCAGGAAUCCGCUCCGCUGUCGCCCAUGGGUCAGGGACUCAGUAUCAGACCAUCGUUCAUGGGGCCAUGCCGCCAUGGAGAUGUUACCCCUCUCCAUUAUAGAUGGCCAAACGGGCGGCCCAGCCCGACCUGGCAUGAGCCCAAUUAGGCCCGGCCUGCUUAGGCCCGCACAGUAAUCGCGCCAGGCCGGGCCGGCCCACAUGCCGAAGAAGUAGCCCAGGUCCGGCCUGCUGCCUUCUUAGGCAGGCCGUGCCGACCUGCUGGCCCGGUGGGCCUUAAUAAGCUCGUCGUGCCCAUGCUGGCCCGCAGCACGGCUCCGGCUCCUCUUUUCCCCGCCGCGGCGCCACCGCGCAGUGGAGGGCCACGGUCCGGCCGGGGAGGCGGCGGCAGAGGGCCAUGGGACCGGCCGGGGAGGCGGCGGCGGAGGGGCACGGCUCUAGCCCCUCUUUUCCCCACCGCCACAGCUGUGGAGGGCCACGGGACCGGCCGGGGAGGCGGCGGCGGAGGGGCACGGCUCUAGCCCCUCUUUUCCCCACCGCCACAGCUGUGGAGGGCCACGGGACCGGCCGGGGAGGCGGCGGCGGAGGGCCACGGCUCUAGCCCCUCUUUUCCCCACCGCCACAGCUGUGGAGGGCCACGGGACCGGCCGGGGAGGCGGCGGCGGAGGGCCACGGGACCGGCGGAGGGGCACGGCUCCGGGGGUAGGGAGAGGCGUGAAGGCCGUGACGUGCGAGCGACCGGCCGGUCAGGCCGUCGGGGGCAGGGAGAGGCGGCGGAAACCGCGACGAGCGAGGGGCCGGCCAGCCGGGCCGCCGGGGGCAGGCCGGCAGGGGGAGGUGGCGGAGGCAAGGGAGGCGCGGAGGUCGUCGGGGCACGCUGGCAGGGGGAGGCGGCGGCACGGGAGGCGCGGAGGUCGCCGGGGGCAAGCCGGCAGGGGGAGGCGCGGAGGCAGGAGGAGGUGGCGGAGACGGAGGCAGUGCGGCUGUGCGGGAGUGCGGGGAGACCGGGGAGGCGGCUCGAAGUCGAAGCAGUAGGAGCGGAGGGGUUCGGUGUGGUGCGGGACUAAGGCAAGCCUGGCAGGCCGUGCCGCCCGUUUAUGGCCCACGAGCCAAAUGGGACAGGCUGUGCCGGGCCAGCCCACGGGCUGAGGCAGCGGCCCAGGCCCGGCCCGUCCUGUAGGCCGGGUCGGCCCGGCUUGCAAGGCCGCCGUGCUGGGCCGGGCCUGUAUCGAGCCAAAAUGUCGUGCCGUGGGCCAGCCCACGGGCCACGGGCCAAAUGGAAAUCUAUACUCUCCAUGCAGCGCAUCGUCAGCAAGAACAGUUGCUCGGAAGCCAAGGUCGGCCAUGCUUGAUCGUUUCAGUACGACUGUCUCAGCAUGCUGAUGUGUCAAGGCGGCGGAGGUUCAGUUCAGCUUCAGCUGAUGGAAGGGAAGGAGCCGGGACAGAGAAGCUCGAGAAGUCGAGAGGAGGAAGACGGAUAAUGAUUGGUCCCGGCUUCCUUCUUUAAUUUACAUUCUUAUAUAAAUCUGAAAUAAAAUUGGGUCCCACGCUCGUGACGAUGAUAUUCCCACUUUGAGCGUCGCUGCGUUGGGCGUUGACACAGAUCCCAUCGCCACAAACACGAGCAGAAACCUGCUGCUGCGUUUUCUUUCGGAAGGGACGGGAGCCUGAAACUCUGAAAUCUCUGAAUCCCUUUCUUCGAUCAGAUCGCGGAAGGUUGUCCACAAUGCGGCUCGUAGUCGUAGCUCUCUCCUUUCAGGUCCUCCUGCUACUCUGUAGCUUCUCCUUCUCCAUCCGAACCAACUACACCUCCAUUUUUAGCUUCGGCGACUCCUUCACUGACACUGGCAACUUCGUGAUCAUCGGCGGCCCAACGACACCCAAUCUGCUUAUAAUCAACCCGCCGUACGGGAUGACCUUCUUUGGCCACCCCACCGGACGCAUCUCUGAUGGGAGAUUGGCCAUCGAUUUCAUUGGUAAGUUCUGUUUCCUUCAGGCUAGCAAGAAUGUACUAUCAAACUAAUGGUCGGCUAGUUUGAUGUGUGUUAAAUAUACGCAGCUGAAGCGCUUGGGCUCCCUCUCCUUCCGCCGUCCAUGGCGGUGAACCAGAGCUUCCGGCAAGGCGCCAACUUCGCGGUGGCCGGAGCCACGGCGCUGGACCGGGAAUUCUUCGUGCGGGACGGCGACACGAGCGUUACUAGGUACAACAUCUCCCUUGGCGACCAGCUCGCGUGGUUCGACGCCAUGAAGCCAUCCCUCUGCGGCUCACCCCAAGGUAACUAGCUAUCGACACACCGUGCCACUCGGGAGGAAUUCUAACCUGACACGCGCGCCCUGCAUCAUUGCCAUGCCAUCUCUGCUAGCAUGCCAGGAGUACUUCGCGCAGGCGCUGUUCGUCGUCGGGGAGUUCGGCUGGAACGACUACGCGUUCAUGCUCAUGUCCGGCAAGAGCAUCGACGAGGCGCGGACUCGCGUGCCGCAGGUUGUCGGAACAAUUUGUGCUGCCGCGGAGGUACGCGACGCGGCGUUCGCCCAUCAUCAGCUGCUACAAUUUCUAGAUGUGAUCGAAUAAAGUUACUCCGUUGCUGCGCGCAGAAACUGAUCGGCGAAGGCGGCAAGACGGUGGUGGUGCCGGGGGUGACGCCGCUGGGUUGCUCGACGUGGAACCUGGUGCGCUUCGCGAGCCAGAACGCGGACUACGAGCCGGACACCGGAUGCCUCAAAGGCAUGAACCGGCUGUCCAGGGAGCACAACAAAGAGCUCCGACAGGCCCUGGCGCGGCUCCGCGGCAGAUCCCCCGCCGGCGUGCGGAUCGUCUACGCCGACUUCUACGCGCCCAUCGUCGACUUCGCGGCGGCGCCGGGUCGCUACGGGUUCGACGGCACGUACGGCGCGCUGCGGGUCUGCUGCGGCGACGGCGGCGGGAGGUACAACGUGAAUUUGAGCAUGGCGUGCGGGACGCCGGGCGUGAGCGCCUGCCCGGAUCCGUCGGCGUACGUGAACUGGGACGGCAUCCACCUCACCGAGGCGGCGAACCACCGCAUCGCCGAUGGCUGGUUCAGGGGCCCCUACGCUCACCCGCCCAUACUCAUGGACACGUAAUUAGCAGGCAUACCCUGUUUUAUUUGUCGCCGCUUUUGUUGGAAAAAGUGAAUUUAUGGCUUUGCAUUCCGAUUUCUCAAGCCUGCAUAUUUAGUACCUUUUCAAAAUUGUGUUGUACAGUACCUUUUUUUAGAUUGACUAGGCAACAUUUGAGUAAAAUUCACAUUUGUCUCGGUCGAAUAAAAACAUGCCACGUGCCUGGAUUAAGGAGAUGGAAAUCAUCGAUUGACAGCAACAACAAAAAAUCAAUCGAUUCUGAAAAAACGAUGUACAGAAAUGUCACGACUAGCCUCCACUUUCGGCCUCCUGUUGCUCUCCCGGUGGACGCUGUGGGGCAGAGCCACAGAGCGCGGAGGCCAAUGGUGUUGGUGGCGGCGGACACUGAGCCGUCCGGGCGCAAGUCGCACAGGACGGCGGGAUCAGUUCCUCGUGGAAGCAACCGAGGACAUUGCGGUUGAGGAGCCACGGGCGACGGACUGGCGGUAGAGUGCGGUGAGCACGCCGAGGCGCCAUGGACUGGACAGCGGACCGGCGCGGCGGCAAGAGGCAUCGGUGGUUGCGGACGAUGUCGACUUCGGCAAGAGGAGUACAACCCGGCCGGCAAAGAGCUCGUCGGCGCAGGAGGGCGAGGCGGCGGGGUUGGUGUGGAGCGGCCAGAACUCCAACUUCGGGGUCGCGGAGGAGGACAUGCGGCUCUUCCUCACCUCGACGGCUUUCAUGGCUGGCUCCGGGACCCGUACGCACACCCUCCCAUCUAUUGCGUCAAUGGUUCUCAGAGCAAAUAGGAAAGGACGUCCAUCAAUUCAAGGUGGGCUGUCCUAGUCCAACUACCUGGGCCGUUCGCCAACUCCUGGCCCUUCCAACACCCACCACUGCUUGGGCCGGAAGCAGUCCAAGUACAACGUGGUUGAGGCCCAGCCCAUUACUGUAUUAUUGCAAGGUGACGACCGUGGCUUAGACACCGACACGCGGGCCUGGGUUUCAUGGGUCCCGUAUGUCAGUACACUUUGAGACGUUGACUUUCUACUUCAGAUCUGAACCAGAACCAUUAUUGCAAAAAAAACGAGCAGAAACCUGCUGCCGCAUUUCUUCCUUUGGAAGGGACGGGGGUGCCUGAAACUCUCGCUAUCGGAAACUCGAGAGGUCGAGAGGAGGAAGACGAAUAACGAUAGGAUAGGAAGUGAUUGGUCCCGGCUUCCUUCUUUAAUCUUCGCGUUGGGUCCCACACUCGUGACGAUAACGAUAGGAUUCUCACUUUGAGCGUUGGUCGUUGACACAGAUCCGCCAAAUAUGCUGCUGCGUUUUCUUCUUUUGGAAGGGACGGGAGCCUGAAACUCUGAAAUCUCUCUCCCGAACCCCUUCUUCGAUCGGAACGUUGCCCACGAUGCGGCUCGUAGCUCUCUUGUUUCAGGUCCUUCUGCUACCCUGGAGCUUCUCCUCCUCCAUCCGAACCAACUACACCUCCAUUUUUAGCUUCGGCGACUCCUUCGCUGACACCGGCAACUUCGUGAUCAUCGGCGGGCCGACGACACCCGAUCUGCUGAUAGCAAAGCCGCCGUACGGGAUGACUUUCUUUGGCCACCCCACUGGCCGCAUCUCUGAUGGGAGAUUGGCCAUCGAUUUCAUCGGUAAGUUCCUUUUCCUUGUGGCAAGCAAGAAUGUACUAACAGAUAGCUAAGUUUGGGGAUUAGAUUAACUGCAAACACCCCUGAUGGUCGGCUAGUUUGAUGUGUAUUAACAUGCUAGUACGAUACGCAGCUGAAGCUCUGGGGCUCCCACUCCUUCCGCCGUCCAUGGCGGCGAACCAGAGCUUCCGGCAAGGCGCCAACUUUGCGGUGGCCGGAGCCACGGCGCUGGACCGGGAAUUCUUCGUGCGGGACGGCGACACGAGCGUCACUCGGUAUAACAUCUCCCUCGGGGACCAGCUCGGGUGGUUCGACGCCAUGAAGCCAUCCCUCUGCAGCUCACCCCAAGGUAAUAUAAUUAGCACGCGACACACCAUGGCACUCGGGAGGAAUCCUGUUAUCCAGAGCUGACACGCGCGCGCUCUGCAUCGUUGUUAAUUUGCCAUCUCUGCUAGCAUGCCAGAGGCACUUCGCGCGGGCACUGUUCGUCGUCGGAGAGUUCGGCUGGAACGACUACGCGUUCAUGCUGAUGGCCGGCAAGAGUGUCGACGAGGCGCGGUCUCACGUCCCUCAAGUUGUCAGAACGAUUUGUACUGCAGUGGAGGUACGCGAUGCGUUCGCCCGUGCUUUAUUUGCAUGAAUCUAGUUGCGAGUUGCGACAGUCAACGAGGCAAUAGAAUCAGAUCAAGUUUGCGCGCAGAAACUGAUCGGCGCAGGCGGCAAGACGGUGGUGGUGCCGGGGCUGACGCCACUGGGGUGCGCGUCGGGGAACCUGGUGCUCUUCGCGACCACGAACGCCGCGGACUACGAGCCCGACACCGGGUGCCUCAGGGGCCUGAACCGGCUGUCCAGGGAGCACAACCGGCAGCUCCGGCAGGCCCUGGCCCGGCUCCGCGGCAGGCGCCCCGGCGCGAGGAUCGUCUACGCCGACUUCUACGCGCCCAUCGCCGACUUCGCCGCGGCGCCGGUUCGCUACGGGUUCGACGGCACGGACGGCGCGCUGCGGGCCUGCUGCGGCGGCGGCGGCGGGAGGUACAACGUCAAUUUGAGCAUGGCGUGCGGGAUGGCGGGCGUGAGCGCCUGCGCGGACCCGUCGGCGUACGUGAACUGGGACGGCAUCCACCUCACGGAAGCGGCCAACCACCGCAUCGCCGACGGCUGGCUCAGGGGGCCCUACGCGCACCCGCCCAUACUCGACGUCAACACAUAACUACUGUAGCAGACACGAGACAGAGCCAGAUACAUGCCCUUUGUAUCGUCCGCGUGCCUCAUUUUGGGUUGAGUCAGAUGGUGAUAUCUUCCUCGUACNNNNNNNNNNNNNNNNNNNNNNNNNNNNNNNNNNNNNNNNNNNNNNNNNNNNNNNNNNNNNNNNNNNNNNNNNNNNNNNNNNNNNNNNNNNNNNNNNNNNCCCCCCCCCCCCCCCCCCCCGGUCGAUGACCACUUGGUCCCGACGUCCAUCUCCCUACUAUUGUUCUCUCUUCCUGCUGUUGUUCUCUCGGUUCAACCGUGUAACCUCGUGGUACUCUGAUGAACUUCUCCAAUUUUGAUUUGCGCCCAGGCCUCAUCUUCUCGGCAAAGGUACGAUCCUUGUUUGGAGCUCGAGUCUCUCCUCUUCCCUAUAUGUCUGCCCUAAGGUUCUAGCUUUUGGCUUCCUUUCCUCGAUCGCGCCUGAAAUUGUCUGUGGAGAAUGUGGGUCUUUUUUUCCAAUCGGUUCUUAGGGGUUUGGCUCCUCAUUUUGCUGCUGAAGAGAUAGAUGAUUGGGUUUUCAAGUUCUGCAUUUCCUCCAAAGAAGUUGGGCUGCUUGUCUACAAAUUGGGUCUCUUUCAGUGUGACACCUUCAAAGUGGUUUUCAAUCUUUGAAAUAAUCAUUUCAAAGUGGUUUUCAAUCUUUGGAAUAAUCAUGGCUUUUAGUUUGCAAAAACAAUGAUUGUUGAAGAUCAGGGUACUCAUUUCCCUUGGAACUUUGUUGAAUUCAGAAGAUCCAAAAAAUCUUUUUUUGCCUCAAUCUUCUCACCCAGGACAUACCCUAUUGACAGGAGCAUAUUCAAUCCCAGUUAGAUCUCCUGGUAUGAUCUCAAAGCAAUCCUAAAGCCACAAAGUGCGUCAGAAUUUUAUCUUCAGCCGUCUUGGUCAACAUUGGGCUCCGAAGGUUCCUGGUUCAGCGAAGAACACAGGCAAUCCUAUUAUUACAAAUUUAAAUCAGGCAGUUUCGGAUAUUGGUUUGACCCUUAACUUAGGGAAUUUUAACCAGUCAGUUCCAGGCACAGAAAUGAAUGCGUAAUCAAGUUUAGCGCAACAUUCAAAUCAGACAGCUAACAGGCCGGUGGGCUGCAUCAAUUGCACCCGCUGCUUCUCUUCUUCUUACUCGUGGGCCAAAUGUUUUAGUGUAACAUCCGUAAAAUUCACCAACUUAAAUCAUCCGCUAAAAGUUGUUUUCAAAAUCUUUUUACCGUUGAGCUCCCGAAAAUCCCAUCUUCCCGGCGAUUUCGCCGUCCCGGCACCCAAAACCAACAACCAUCAUUUUUAUCCUCUCCUCAAAUUUCAUCACGUGCCGGUCGACAAACCACCGCACGUGCUCUGACCAUUUCCCGUAAUCACCGCCGACUCUCCCUUUCUUUUCUCUCUGUUUUCCCCUUCUCCUUUUUCCCUUUUUCUUUUUCCUCCCUUUCUUCUUUCUUUCUUCCUUCUUCUCCCUCCUUCCUUCUUCUUCUCUCCUCAUCCUUCUUUUCUUGGCUGGUCACGCACGGCCCCAGGCCGUGGCUUCCUUCGGCGCCUGGCCCCCCCUGGCCGGCCACCUUUCCCCCCGGCCACGCGUGCCAGUGCCCCCAUGCCCACGUUGUCGGGCCCUACAUUGCGGCACCGCCGGCCACGCCGGCGCCCCUCGAGCCGCGCAAGCCACGACGCUCAGCCCCUGCACGCCCCAUCUGAUGAGGAUAUCACCUGCUCGGAUACAAUUGAUACACCACCUCCAAUGGUCGCUGCGAUCUUGUGGAGCAUGAUCAACCAAACCACUAGGGUAAUUCCUCCAAGCAAUCGAGGAACAAGCAAGAACUAGUAUAAAAAGCAACUCAAUUGCAAAUAUAGAGUUGGAAACCAAUCUGAACUCACAAAGUUGGGAUUCUGAAUCGAGUAGAAUGGAUGGUCUAGUCGACACACGCGUCUACAAGGAAGUAGCAAUGGCUAAACUUUCAACAAAACAAAACCCAAUCUAUUUGUGGUGGCUCUAAUCCUUAUUAAUACCUAGGAGGAUGACCAGGGGGGUGUUGGGGUCGUGCUUCAACCCUAGUACAUAUCCCUAAUGGAUCCAACUAGAUACACGGCCCAUUGGGUCAAAAUAAGGCGACGCAACACCUCUGGAUAUAAAACCUCUCGGUAGUAUUUCAAUUAUUGCGGCUGACUUAGAAUAGAUAUGGAUAUGAGUCUAGAUCCAUAUGAAAAUAGACUUCAUAAGGAUUCCAAGGAGUACUUGAACACCUAAAACAGAGUCCGGAUAAGAUCGUGGCGGGCGUUGCAAGUUAGGGUAGAGCUGCAGUCCGAAUCCAGCGCCAAAACGUGUUGGAUUGGAUCUCUUUCUUUCCUUGGGCUAAAAGUGACGUGGUGGCCUGGUGGAGGACGUUGGGAAUACUUGGACUUGGCCCCCAAUCAACUUCUUUUGUCCUCCGUACCUUCCAUGUGUGUUUAACACUAUUUUUGAUCCACGUAGAUAUUUCUGAAAUUGACAACGAACACACAUCAUGGUGCAACAUCAAUUCAUCAAAUGUAUCAAAGACAAUAAUGGUAAAGAAUUGUUUCACCUGUGAAUCAAAGUUACUAAUGUGGUUGUAUCCGAGCAGGUGAUAUCCUCAUCACCAUCCCCCACCACACAGCGCCGCACACCGUCGGCCCCUCCCCCGCCGACGACCCCUGCCGGCGCCGUGCCCCGCCGCUCGCCCGGCCCCCUCCCACUACACUGCCGACGGCCCCUACCCUACCACCGGCCGCCACUCGAGCUCGCCGGACCGGACUCCCACGUCGCCAUCGUCAUUUCCUUCGCCCGCCUGCUAUAAAAGGGCCUCAACGCCCGGCCUCCACACCCACUUCCCUUGCCACCAAGCUCCACCUCUCCAUGCGCAACACGCCGCCGCCAAGAGCGUCGCCCCCUCUCCCGUGCGCCGCCGCCUCCAGACCACCGCCAGCACCCCGUUCCCCGGUGCCACCCGCCCAAGGUAAGGGGCCAAAUGGGAUCCCCUCCCCACCUCCCUCUAUCUUCCCCCGCCGCUGGGCCUCACUGCCGGCGAGCCACGGCCAGCCGACCGCCACCGAGCCACCCUCCCCAUCCACCUAUGCGCACCCAACGAAGAAGAAAGAGAAAAACUCCUUCUCAUUUCGAUCUAACCCCCAUCUUUCUCUAUUUCGCAAAAUAGCCCUCCCACCUCUCUCCUACUCUUUUCACAGAACAACCCUUCCACCUUCCGAAAAUAUUUACAAACAAAUCCCUCGUUCUCGCUGUUUAGUCCUAAAACUUGUUUUAAGCCCCUAAAUACACAGUUAUCUCGUCAUUUCAUGCGCCAAACUUCCUCCAAUUAAUCCCAAAUUUUACCACAGCAUCCUCCAAUAUACUUUCACUGAAUCAUCUCCAAAUUUCAUGAAAAUACUCAUUCCUUCUAUUUUCCGUUCAUGUUCUCUGUUCGAGCUCAACGAGUAAAAUCUUAUUUUUCUUUUAUUUAUUGUGUGCCCAAUUGUGUGUGUCGUAGAUCGCGGAGUAACUGAGGAGGAGCCUGAGGAGGAGCCUGAGGAGGAGUUUGACCAUGAGCGUGAGCCCGAGGACCAGCACCGCGAGCAAGAACUCCCGGCCAACUACGAGGACGGCAAGUCCGAUAUUACCCUUUGAUGCAUAUUUAUCCUAGUUUUUCAAACACAACCUAUUGGCCUGUUUUAUAAAAUUGCAUAUUGUUUUACUGCUAAAACACGGUUGGAUAGCCACCAAUUGAUUUCUAUGUACAUUCCUUGAUUGUCCUAUAAUUAUCUCUAAAUAUGAUUUGCUCUGUUUGGAUGAUAAUUACUGCUAGAAUGCUUAGGAUCUUGUUACUCAAUUCAAUGAUGACUACAAUGCGCUUUGUUAAAGAAUAAAUGUGUGAGUGUUUUCAAAUGAGAAAAUGGGUAUUCAGAAAUAAAGGAAAGAAAUGCUUAGAUGAGAUGGAGGGGUGUUUCUUGUGUGAAAUGCCAAUAAGUUGGGCUCGUACCUUUGUGGUUGAGCAAGGUUGGGAGAUAUCUAUCUUGUCACAGUUAAGGACCGAGUUGAUGUGCCAUCUUGCCUAACGCACUAUUGUGCAACCACUCGACCAAUGUGUGGGUGGCGGUUUAGCAUAAAUCUCACUAGCUGGUCUAUUAGCCAUCAGGAGAGCUGGUGAGCAACGGGAGACCAUGGAGAAGGACUAAAAACUAUGUGAACUUAGAUCUUGGUUAAGACCUUGUUGGAAGGUCGUUAAUCCCUUAGUUGCUUCCGUGUUGGCUGGUCGGUGUUAUCUAAAGUGGGUAAUGACUUUGAUAGGAUAUGCACCAACACUAAGGUGAUCGUACUGCGGUACCCUACUUGUGGGUAAAGUGUACAACCUCUGCAGAGUUAAAACCUAUCCGAGUAGCUGUGUCCACAACAUUGGACAAGUUAUAGCUUGGACACAUAACCAGUGUUUGGGUGAUGGAUGGUUUUCAUGGCGUAAGUUGGAUUUUGGAAGUUUCCGGCAGUUGUGCCAUGAGCUACCGCAGACGGGGAGUCCGGUAGCAUGAAAACUUGGAUCCUUUGUGUAGGAUCAACCCCACCUAAUGAUUCGAUUACUAAAGAAAAUGUUUUGUGAAAACCCUUUUGAAAAUGAACCUUUGCAUGUGUUGAAAAACCUAGCUUUAUGGCAAAUAAACCCGAGCCUUAUCCUUGAUAUAUCCUAUGCAUAUUCUUGAUUGUAUCCCCCUCCGUGGAUGGGGUUGGACUUGUUGAGUACUUUUGUACUCACCCUUACUUUGUUGCUCUAGAGGAAGACCCGGACUUCAUCGCCAAGGAUCUCAAGUAGAAGGUCGCUUCCGCACCCAACGCUGCUUGUGGUGUUGGCCUUUGCAGAAUGCUUCCGUUGUCAUGUAGUCCCGAAUGUUUUCUCUUGACAGUAGCUUGGCUCGCUGCUGUUGUUUAUUUACUUAUCAUUUCGGCGUGGCUUUCGCACCCACUUCCUCGGGAGUUGUAUGGUUUAUGAAGCAUUUGUUGAAUAAAUGUGUUAUCAGCCUCCUGGGACUGGUAUUUGUAUCACAUUUAGUCUCCGCUGAUGUGGGGACGCUUCAUUUAGACCCAUCUGUUGUGGGCUUUGUUUCAAACUGGGCCAUAUUGCUAUCCAUUGCCAGUUUCUGCCUCGAUUUUCGGGUCUUUCCCAGGACGGAACAUUCUCCAUAGCUGUGAAAUCGGCCGACUGGGAGUGUCUUAAUGUGGACAAAUGGUUCACUGCUGCAACCUCUAUGACUGAUGGGACCAAUCUUUGUGGACCCCCCCGUGUACGCGAGCUUACAGGACAUGGGUCAUUCCAUUCUCGGUGUAAAUCCUUUUGUGCCAAAGAUGACCAUUACCUAGAAUUGCUCCUCUCAGACCGCAGUCAUCGGAGAAGACGUCUCACCUUCCUUGCGAUCCUUGCUACCAUCGCCGCUGCCUCCCUCGCUCUUUUCACCCUGCUCUACCAGUGAGGAACCCAAGGCUUUCCUCCUCCUCCCGCUCCAAGCAGCAUUGCUCCAUGUCGCUUUCUACAUUGCGCCUCUAAAAACUGCAACUUUAUAGUAAACCCGCUGCAAGAAUCAGGCCCUCUACCGGAUUCGAUCAUAGCCUACAAGGUUGUGGAUCCUGCCCCAUUCAUACCAAGAGGAUGCCACCGUCAGCUGGUUGGUUUCAGGAAGUCAAUGUCCCGAGUUGUGCUUGGAGGGCCGCGCAGGAAAAACAAUGGUGUCGCCAUUAUCUCCAUUGAACCUCUGCCGAACCAACAAGUAUCCUUCCAGUCCAUAAGAGAGUUGCUUGAUGACUUUCUGAGAAAUCAUCGUAGAGUUGCUUUUCACUCCAUUCAACCCUGCCCUUAUGGUCAAGCUUAUGUGAGAUUUCACUUUGUUCAUGACAAAGAUUUCCUCAUCAGUGGUAGCCCCCAUGAGUAUGGUAACUACAGAAUUUCAUUCACUGAGCAUAAUAGGGGUUGGAAUGAUAAGACCAUAACUAUGAAUUGUGAAGUUUGAAUCAUGUUGCUGGGGUACAACAUUGAUUACUAGACCAAGGCAGACAUAAAGAAAAUUGUGUCUGAAUUUGGCAGACUGAUAGUUUGGGAGAAAGAUCCUAAUAAUUUGGCAAGAAUUGUGGUUAAGGCAAAAGUGGUUGAUUUAUCUAAAAUCCCAUGGUUUCUAGUUUGUUCUAAAGGAGAGGACUUUGAAGGUAGUUCAUGGACAGUACAGUGUGAAAUUCUCCAGUAUAGGAUGCUUGGAGGAGGUCCUGUUGAUGAAGAACAACCCCCUAGUGAUGUUGACCCCAACCUCUUUGAUUUAUUUGGCUAUAGACAACCUAGUAAUGCAGGACCUGCAAAUCCUAAUAUCAACAAUAACCAAAAUGCUAAUGAAGGUCCUGCUACUCAAUGGGGAUUAUGGCCUAAUAGGCCUCAAGCCCAAGCAGAUGAACCUUUUAUUGGGCCUCAGAUGGGUCAAGCAGCUCCAGAUGGUCCAUUAGCUCAACUUGCUCCUAAAAAUGUUAAUCCUUAGACCAUGACUUUCUAGAAGUUAAUGAUUUGGUGUUGAAUGGGAAUCAGGUUGACUUUGAUCUGAAUAUGGCAGUGGAAGAAGAUCUAGGAGGAAUUGAGAACUUUCUUCAAGCAGCAGAGAAUUUGGAAGCUAAAAUUCAUGAAGACCCAUUACAGAUCAUUGAUGCAAUAAAUUCUUCUGACAGCUCUAUGGACAAUGCACCAGUGCAGAAUUUGGGUGAUGAACCAGUGCAGGUUGAAGUUUUCAUCCCGUAGGCACAUGGUCAGCCACUUCACAUGGUUCAAGAGGACAUCAAUGAACAGGACCUCAUGGGAGGAGACCCUAAUCAGGAUUUGCAUCAGGAAAGUGGGAACAAUAAUAUGUAGCUGGGCAUUGUUGAAUUUUUAGAACCAAGUCAAGAUUCUGUCUUUGCUGAAAUGAUUACUUCAAAGCAGCAGGGACUUUUUCAUCCAAAUCCUGAAGCAAUUCGACAGUGGGCAAAGCACUUUUCUCCAAGAGUGUCUUCUCAACAGGUGGAUAUCCCUCUGCCAUGGACAGAUUUCUUCACUGCACAACUCAUGAAUCCUUUGAGUUUUUUAUGGGCUAAUACCUUCCUGACGUCCCCAGCAUUGUAGUUUCUUCAGUCAGAGCAUAGUUCAAUGAAGCUCGGUCUACCAGAGAACUGUCCAUACAUAGAAACUCCUGUCUGCUCUGCUGACCAUAUGUUCAAAAAGGGUUCUAUGGAUAAAUGCAAGGAAAUAAUUUUUGAGGGCAACUCUCUUGAGAAUAUUGCUAGCUCAUCCAAGGUUCCACUUGUUACCUCUAUCACUGCAAACACUGCAAUUGCUCCUCUUCUAGCUUCUACCGGUGUAGGCAAGGAGACCUCACAUGGUACACUUGUGGAACCCAUGUUACAAAAGGUUGCCUCUUCUCCUGGCCCAUGGUCUAAAGCUCUCCUUGAUUAAGAUGCACACAUCAAGAAACCUUCAAAGGACAUGGUAGGCAAGAUUAUCUCUUAGGAUGAUCUUAGAAGGACGAAGAGAAACCAGAGCAAUAAUCAAGGCUUCAAAGCCUCAGUGUGUAAUGAUAAAAACUGCAUUAGUUGUUCAGUGGAGCCUCCAUCCUUAACCAAAUCAGUCAUUAGAAAUCUUGGUGAGGCCUUCUACAAAGUGGAUCCCUCCAAGCUCACUAUUUGUGCCCUCAACAAGAAAAAGACAAUAGCUCCCCCAGGUCGAAAGAAGCUACCUAAGAAGAAAUUUGACAAUAACAAUGAUGGUGCUGAUGCUCCAAAGAUCAUAAAAAAAGCCUAAGAAGUAGUAGAGAGUGGUCUGAGCACAUGGCCUCUCUCUUAUCUAUCUGGUUUUAGCAUCAGUGAUGUCCACUUAAUGCUCUGGUUCUUUUGGUCAUCUAUGUAUAAAUUCAAAUAUGAACUCUCAAUAUACUAAGAGAUUGGGGAAAGUUAUGUGCUGCAAUGUUAGGGGCAUCAAUUCUACAAAAAAUGGAAUUAUGUGAGGGAUAAAAUUACUGAAAGCUAGUGUGACAUUCUGUGUUUACAAGAAACUAAGAAAGAACUCAUAAACUCUAUGUUUAUUAGAAAAUUCUACCCCGCUUCCUUUGAUAAGCUUGAAUUCUUUCCCUCUCAAGGGGCCUCUAGUGGGGUAGCCAUUAUUUGGAAAUCUGCCUUAUUUGAGGGCCAACUAGUGUUCAUGAAUGAGUUUGCUGUCUCUGUUAAGUUCAACUCAACAAUCAACAAUUGUGAAUGGGUGCUUAAUAAUAUUUAUGGUCCAUGUUCAGUGGAGUGAAAGAGAGCCUUUAUGCAGUGGUUCAAGAAUAUUCAAAUGCCUGAGGAUAUUGAUUGGUUGGUCUUAGGGGAUUUUAAUUUAAUAAGAGAUCCAACUAACAGAAAUAAGCCUGGGGGAAACUACAAUGAAAGGUUCAUGUUCAAUGAAGCCAUUAGUGUUAGAGUUUUAUACCCGGCAACCUACUGAGGGGUAUCCCAAGGUAGUAGAUUGGUUGGUGGGGAAUCGUCGAACCUGGAACUUGAAGAUAAAAGCGAGAACACAAGAUACGAAUUUAUACAGGUUCGGGCCAUCAGAGUAGCGUAAUACCCAACGUCCCGUUUGGGGUGUUGUCUAUUGCACCCUACGCUUGGGUGUUGUUUGGUGUUGAACCCCUUGGUGGUUCUGAGGGGCUCUCUGUUGUCUCUAAGCUGCUGAUCUAGGUACCCCGGCCCUUCUUUAUAUACUUCAGGGGGCGCGAUUACUAGUCGGUUACAAAGAGGAGUCCUAGUAGGAUUGCAUGGUAUGAGUCCUAGUAGGAUUACAGAGGAAUCCUAUUAGGAGUCCGUCUUCUUCCUUCCUUGCGGGUACUAGGGAUCUAUCCCCGACAAGCCCUCGAGCACUUCAUAGUCGAAUGCAACAUUCUUCGAGUACUUUUAAGAUCCUCGUCGAGUAGUUCUGGUGCUCUUCGAGUACUUGUCUAGCUGAAUCUUCAAAGUUCCUCAAAACUGCCAUGAGGCUUUUGUGUGCUCAAGCCUUGAUCAUCUUGAUAUUUUUACCUUCAUAUAUGGAGGGCGGCGAAAGUCGCACUUCAUAUGGAGUAGCCCCGAUCCUUAGGUUGAAUCGAAGAAUCAGGCUAAGGGUCAAUAAAAUCUUGAAUCUUCUUUUUUUAUCUUGAAAAAAUUAACUAUUGGGUGUAGCUUAUCAGCCCCUGAGCCUUAGAUUAAUUGUAUAACCAAUUCAAGGAUCUUGAAUCUUCACGCAUGUCAUCAUCCAAGUAGUUUUGCGGUGUCCAGCCCCCAAUCUUAUGCGCCAGGUGAGCCGGAGGAGCCACGUCGAGUACUUAUUGGCGCUUAGCCCCCGAGCUUGGAAGCUAGCUGAGCCAUUGAAGAUAUUCCAAGCAGUAAUGGUGCUUAACCCUGAGCCUGGGAGCUAGCGGAGCCACUUGAAGUAUUUUUGAGUAGUAAUUGGUGCUUAGCCCCCAAGUUUGGGAACUAGAUGUGCCUUUGGAGGUACGCUUAGCAUCCUAAGUGUCGUCACCGAAGCUUGACCUAAAAGAAAAGAUGCAUACAUUAUGUAGCUAUUUGUAGAAUAUUGAAAACGGAUGAACUUUAUUUAGUGAUCAACAUAAUGUAAAUGUUAUGUGUCAUGCACUUGUUUCAGCCAUAUUUCUCUCGAGUAGUUAGUCUGUUAUAUUUAGACUCUUAAUCUCUGUUUAGCCGUAGCCACUGCGUGAUGAGAUCUUUGUCUCUUGUACGUGUACGGGCACUGUUGUUUGCACAACUGAGAUCUUUAUCUCGUGUAUGUGUGCUAGCAUUUAAGCAUGAUAGAUGAUCCAAGGCUUUCAUGAAUUAAGGUGUGUUCUACUCAAGAAGAUUAGUGACCUUAAGAGGAGAUAAAAAUGAGUAGUCGGUAUUGCGACAAAAGAGACUGCACGAUUGUGCGUAAGAGUGCUGCCCUCCGGCGAGUAGAGCACGUGUUGUGCGCAAGAGUUUGCUGCCCUCCAGUGAGUAGAGCGCAUGUUGUGCGCAUAAGAUUUGUGCCUCCUUAGGGUGUAGCUGUUGUGAGCCUCCAGUAUUUAAUGCAUCAAAUCUGUGGCUAUUGCCUCCAAAAUUCGAUGUACCAAACCCGUGACGGUGCCUCCAAAACUCAGUGCAUCAAACCCAUGGCCGUAGCCUCCGUAAUUUGGUGUACCAAGCUUGUGGUUGUUGGUCAACACGCCCUAGGAAUAGUUGGCAAAGUGUAGCCCUGUAGGGUAAUUCCCGUUCAAGAGACGUUCUUAAAUGACAAAUUACAAACCCUUCUUCAUCAAAAAAAAAGAUAUUGGAAGCAAAGAGGGGCCAUCAAAUGGGUGAAAUUUGGAGAUGAAUCCAGAAAGUUUUUUCAUGCCAAUGCAACCAUUAAACAUAGAAAAAUUUCAUCAGGAACUUGGAAGAUGCAAAUGGAAACCUUCAAUCAAAUCACCAGAUCAAAGAAUCAAUACUAUGGGAAGCAUAUAAGGAAAGGCUGGGCACUUCAGAUUCACACCCUAUGGCUUUUAAUCUUCAACAAUUUCUUCAGAUAUUUGAUAUUCUUCAGUGCCUAGAGGAACCAUUCAGUCAUGAAGAGAUUGAUCCUGCUGUUCAAAAUCUAUCUAAUGACAGAACUCCUGGUUGGAUUUAAUACAAACUUCAUCAAUAUAUGUUGGUCAAUUAUUAAACAAGAUUUUUAUGAUCUUUGUGAAGACUUUCACUCGGGCAACAUAUGCCUUCAAAGUAUAAAUGGUUCUUAUAUCACUUUAAUACCAAAAGUGGAUGGUGCUGCUUAAGUAACAGAUUUUAGACCAAUUUCACUUCUCAACACCUCUAUGAAGCUUCUGACUAAGCUUCUUGCCAACAGGUUACAGAAGGUCAUUAUGGAUAUAGUUCAUAAAAAUCAGUAUGGGUUUAUCAAGUCAAGGACAAUUCAGGACUGUCUAGCAUGGGCUUUUGAGUACUUGCAUUUAUGUCAUAAAUCUAAAAAGGAAAUUGUUAUUUUAAAGCUAGACUUUGAAAAAACUUUUGAAAGAGUUGAGCAUGAAGCUAUGUUGGACAUCAUGAAGCAUAAGGGCUUUGGGACAAUUUGGCUGAACUGGAUGCAAAAGAUUUUUAGCUCAGGAACCUCCUCCCUCUUGCUAAAUGGAGCCCCAAGGAAAAGGUUUCACUAUAGAAGGGGAGUUAGGCAGGAAGAUCCCCACUCCCCUCUUCUGUUUGUCUUGGCAGCUGAUAUAUUGCAGUCUCUGCUGAACAAUGCAAAGAAUCAGGGACAUCUACAACUGCCAAUUCCACUCACUUAUAACCAUUACUUCCCUAUUCUUCAGUAUGCAGAUGACACUCUGAUCAUAUUGGAAGGUUGCCCCUCUCAACUGCAGCACCUCAAAAUAAUUCUACAAUCUUUUACCCUAUCCACAGGCCUUAAAGUUAACUACAGUAAGUCCAUGAUGGUGCCCAUUAAUAUUAUUGAAGACAGGUUGCAAGUGCUCUGUCAAUUGUUUGGUUGUGCAAUUUGAAAAAUACCUUUCACAUACUUGGGGCUGCCUCUCGGCCUUAAAGAGCCUAGAGUAGAAGAAGUCCUCCCAAUGUUCUCUAGAUGUGAAAAGAGGCUUGUCAGCACAUCUAAUUUUCUAUCCCAAGCAGGACGUCUUCAGUUAAUUAAUUCAAUCUUCACUGCUCUACCUAUGUUUCAUAUGUGUACAUUCAUUCUACACAAAUCAGUAUAUAAGCAGAUUGAUAAGUAUAGGAAGCACUGCUUUUGGAGAGGUUUAGACAUUAACAACAGAACAUCACCUAAAGUAGCAUGGGAGAUGGUCUGCCUUCCAAGAAAGAAGGGGGUUUGGGAGUCUUGAAUCUCAAAACACAAAAUGAAGCUCUAGUGCUCAAAUUUCUGCAUAAAUUUUUUAACAGAGCAGAAAUUCAUUGGGUGCACUUGUUGUGGGAAAAGUACUACACUAACUGUAAAUUACCAAUUCAGGUGAGCAAAGGCUCUUUUUGGUGGAAAGAUGUCCUAAAGCUUUUGCACAAAUACAAAGGUCUUGCAGUGGUAUCAAUUAAUGAUGGACACACAUGCUCUCUAUGGAAUGAUCUAUGGAAAGAUCGAGUACCAUCUCAGGCAUAUCCUCAGCUAUUCUGUUUCACUAAGAAGCAGGAAAUUUCUAUUCAGAGAGCUCAAAAAUAGUAGAUGUUCAACACUUGUUCCACCUUCCUCUUUCACCUCAGGCUCUCCAGAAGCUGAUUCAUCUGGCUGCUAGUUUGGAGGAUUUAGUCUUAAAUAAUGAACCGGACAUAUGGACAUAGGGCAAUCCCUUUUAUUCAUCAUCAAAAGCUUAUCGUCAUCUCUCUGGUCAUAGACAGGUACAUCGAGUUUUUCAUUGGCUCUGGAAAUCGCGCUAUUAGAACAAGCAUAAGGUUUUUUUCUGGCUAGUACUAAAGGACAAACUAAGCACAAGAAACGUUCUUAGAAGAAAGAAUAUGGUCCUCCCUUCAUAUGAAUGUGUACUCUGUCAAUAUGGACAUGGAGGGGAAGAAACGUUAUUUCAUCUACUGCUUGAAUGCCCCUUUGUUCAGGAAUGUUGGAUUCAUAUAGGUUUGUUCCCUAACUUGUCUUAUGAACCAUAUGAAAUUCUAAACAGCUUCAGAAUCCAGCUGCAGGUUCAAUUCUAUAUGGAAAUUAUAAUCAUCAUGAGUUGGAGUAUUUGGAUGGCCAAACAUGAUUGGAUCUUCAAAGGGAUCACUCCUUCAGUACAGGACGCCUUGUUUUGCUUUAAAACAAUUUUUACUCAAGUUAUUCUUAGAGUAAAAGAAGAUUGGAAACAUAUUAUAUCUUCAUGGCUAGAGCAGACAUUGUAAUCUUUCUUUGUUUCUUAAUUUCUUCUUGUACUCUUUUCAUAGUUAAUAUAUAUAAUAUAUAACCAGCAGGGGACCUCCCACUCCUGUUUGCUCAAAAAAAAUGAGACAGUGCCUGCUUUAUUUCUCUUUUUUUUUCUUUAAAAAAUAAAUUAAUUCCUCAUUUUGCCUUCUGAUUCCCACGAAGGGUUUUUUUGGUUGAUUUUGUAUCUGAAAAGAAUAUUUGGUAAAUGAAGCUUUUUCGAAACACAAUACAUACGCAAACACUCACAUACAUGCACGCACACUUAACCACUCACAUACAUGCACGCACACUUAACCUUAUGAAUACAUGCAUGCAACGCUACCUUAUGAGUACCUCCGAGAUACUGAGCUGGCAAAUUCUCGAGAUUGACGAAGUCAUCACUUGCGUCUCGCUAUCGAGGAGCACGUCGUCUACCACUGAAAGAAUAGUGUCUGUUAAAUCCUGAAAUUCAUCACUGACGCCUCACUAUCGACGGGCACGUCGUCUACCAUUGAAAGAAUAACACUGGUUAAAUCUUAGAAUAAAUCCAAAAAAUAUGAGCAUCAGUGUUGAGUCGAGGACUCGAACUCUGGUGGCAGGUUUCACCACAAGUAACCUCACCGGCUGAGCUCGCUCAAUUUGCAAAUGAAGUUUUUUAUUGAUAAAAGGCUGCGUACUUAUUUGAACAAAACUUUAAUAGCGGAUUUAACAAAUCCAUCAAUUUACCAUGGCCUGCAGAUGGAACCCCACCCAACUGGGCCGUGGUGGAGCCAGGCCGUCUGCUUGGGAGAGGACAGGGAUUCCUCGCCACGCUGAUCUUGCUUGGGAGUGGCGCUGCUGCUGGGUGGCAAUGGCUGCUGACCGAGCGCGACUGAGAGAGAGACCCGACUUGUCCUCCAUGCAGCGCAUCGCCGUUCCAACGAUCACGACAUGGCUGGAUGGGCCCUCCAGCCCCAGCGUGGGAAAAAGGCCCAGAAUAAUAAGAUACUAGUAUCCUGGAAAGCUGGCAGACAAGGACAACCUUGAUCGCAGUAUAGUGUGUUAGGGUCUCUUGGGUAAUCUAAUCUUGCGCGGCAGCGGCGCACGGACAGGUUGAUCCGCUCGAUUAUUGUAUUGGAUGCUCUGAAGCCUCUGAUCUUGCUGGUCUCUGAGAUUUGCUUGCUAAACGCCAUUGGCAUGGCGAUCCGGAGAUAGCAUGGCAAUCAUCAAUCAAGCUGGUUCAGUAUGAAUACUGAGCAUUUUGAUCCCUGCUGCUGAGAUCUCCUAGCUCGCACAGUGUUGCGUCAUGUGGUCCCAGUAUUCUUGGAGUCCACGUGGCAGACUGCCAUUUACGAGCCUCAUGAAUGCUCAUUAAGGAGCAGUAAUGGAGCUCAUGAAUGGUUCCGCGACAGUCGUUGUAAUCAAAUGAAACAGCCCAGCAGCAUUGUCUAUCCAUCCAUUCCAUUUCCAUGGACAUGGACGAGUGCUACCGGAAAAUCGGUCUCCCAUCUAGGAUUUUUUUUUAAAGGGACGACAGCGAGGAAUGUCCCGAGAGGCCGAGAUGAGCGGUAAACGGGAACAGAGAGAGAAAGAGAUAAAUUGAGGUUUGGGAGCGAGCGUCAGGCUCCGGAAAUCGGAAUCACGUGUGAACCUGCCAUCAACCGUCCUUUGGCUCAGGGCUACUGGAGUGCAGUGGCCGGAGUGGCUGUGGCUCUCCGCUCUCCCCUCCACCCACCUCCUGCUCACUCAGAUUUGCCCCUCACCAUUUACUCCCCCACCUACAAUAUCAAGCCAUCCGCCAUUACUGACCUGAGCCCAUCGCCCUUCGCAACGCGGAAGCGCCACCACCUCAUGCCGCUCCCGGCCUACCCUGCUGUGCUGCUACUAGUACUAGCAGUGUGCCAUAGCUAGCUGCUAGCGCCACUAGCAGGCUACAGUCGACAGCCACUGCCACCGCUCCCUGCGCCUGCGCAGCUCUGCCACUGUACAGUACCACCAGCGCCCUGCGGCCGCGUUCCCAUGGCGCCCUCCGGCAAUCUGCUGCCCGCGCUCGCCGCCGCUUUCCUCUGCUGCGCCCUCGCGCCGGUCGCCCAAUGCGGCGGCGGCGGAGGCGCCCCGCAGAACUACACCUCCAUGUUCAGCUUCGGCGACUCGCUCACCGACACCGGCAACCUGCUCGUGUCCAGCCCGCUCUCCAACCACAUCGUCGGCCGCUACCCCUACGGCAUCACCUACUUCCACCGCCCCACCGGCCGCUGCUCCGACGGCCGCCUCGUCGUCGACUUCCUAGGUGCGUCCUGCCGCCGGCGCCGGCCAUUAAUUAAUGCCGCCUUGAUUUCAUUCUCGUGCGUUUCCGUGCCGGUCCUGAUGGUGUCUCUUCCCUGCGACGGCCGGCCGUACGCGCGCAGCGCAAGCGUUCGGCCUGCCGCUGCUGCCGCCGUACCUGCAGUCCAAGGGCAAGGACCUCCGCCGGGGCGUCAACUUCGCCGUCGGCGGCGCCACCGCCAUGGAUCCGCCCUUCUUCCAGGAGAUCGGCGCCUCCGACAAGCUCUGGACCAACCUGUCCCUCAGCGUCCAGCUCGGAUGGUUCGAGCAGCUCAAGCCGUCGCUCUGCAGCUCGCCAAAGAGUCUGUCCACAUUCGUUUUCCCAUUAAGAUUUUGCCUUUGCAUUUCGGAUUCUGCUCCUGAAUAAAACUGAAGCGCUGAUUGCAAAUUUGAUUACUGCCCCCGAAUCGAAACAGAGUGCAAGGAGUACUUCAGCAAGUCCCUGUUCCUGGUCGGAGAGAUUGGGGGAAAUGACUACAACUACGCGUUCUUCAAGGGCAAGACCCUGGACGACGCCAAAACUUACGUUCCCACGGUCGCCGGCGCGGUCACCGAUGCCACUGAGGUCACCAAAUCUAGCAUCAAGCUCUCCAUUGUUUAUUUCUUCACACGAUUCGAUCGUCACUAAACAAUUGCAACUCCCAACAGAGGCUGAUCAAAGCCGGCGCGACGCACCUGGUGGUGCCGGGGAACCUGCCGAUGGGCUGCUCGUCGGCGUACCUGACCCUGCACCCCGGCCGGAACGGCAGCGACUACGACGCCGCCGGCUGCCUCAAGACGUACAACGACUUCGCGCAGCACCACAACGCCGUGCUCCAGCAGAAGCUGCAGGCGCUCCGGGCCAAGUACCCGCAGGCCAGGAUCAUGUACGCCGACUACUACGGCGCCGCCAUGUCCUUCGCCAAGAACCCCAAGCAGUUCGGUGAGUGCCAUUGCUCAACCAACUGAUAUCGAAUCUAAAUUCGGAGCUUUUCUAAAGUUUACAUCGAUCUGAUCAUCACACGACUGAUCAGCUACACUGAAAGUGACACGAAAUGGUCACUAUGCUUAGUUAGAGAGGAUGGCCCGCCACGGUCUGGCAUCAAAAUGGGGUUCCAAUUGUAUGGCUCUUUCGGAAAAGGUCGGGGGAUCUAAGCCACUUAUCCAGUCUCCUUUCGAGAAAGGAGAGUCGUGUCUUGCUUAUUGCUUGCUUAGUUGCUUUCGCUACACUGAAAAGACAUACGGUCCUUUUAGUCAGCCAUCUCCAGUAGCUAACACAUGGACGUGACACUGAAAAAGUGAAAAACAUGGAUCUUUGAUCUUUUCCAAGGAGUGGUAAAAGCCUUUUCUUUUAGAAUGCUGAUCUAGGAAGUGUGAUCCUUCCAUCACGGUAAAGUAAAAUCUGAACUCCUUGACUCUGAAGCUCCGACCUGAUAUAGCACUCAUCAACAUUCAGAAACUUCUUUUACUGCAAUUUCAGAUACUUUGUCGUUUGAGGUACUAGUGAAGUCUACUGGCAUAUUGAUCAGCUGAUGAGUAUUUAUUUGUCACACACCAGUAAAUUGAUCUGGAGUUCCCUUAGCUAGAUGCCACUGUCAGUUCAUCAAAUCGGCCUCUCUUUUUUCUUUGAAAAGCAAUAGUCUCUAUUGAUGAGUUCGUUAGCAGCUCAGGCUUAGACCAACUGUCAUGAUCUGUUAUUUUCUGUUCUAUAGGGGAAAUGACAAUGUCGAUUUAAGGGUAACUGCCAACUGUUUAUAGACUUGACCUGUAGCUUCCACUGUCAGAGUUAGUGUGGUUCGGUUUUGAAUAGACACAGACAGUUCACAGACGAGAUGGUACAUUACUCUGGAUUGAGUAUCAGAGUAAUACGGUGGCAAACAUGAUUAGACAUUUCCAACUUUGUUCAUGAAACUGGUCCAGACGUCCAGUAGUGCAGAGUACCUACACCUAAAAAAAAUCAGCACACCUCUUGAUCAACAAAUUCAGCUCUUCCCCCUGCUGCAUAUGUUGUUCUGAAUAUCUCUGUUACUCACCUGCUGCUGUGAAACUGCUCUCUGCGUGCAGGCUUCACUCAAGGUCCGCUGCGGACGUGCUGCGGCGGCGGCGGGCCGUACAACUUCAACCCGAAGGCGAGCUGCGGCGUGCGGGGUUCGAGCGUGUGCACGGACCCGUCGGCGUACGCCAACUGGGACGGCGUGCACCUGACGGAGGCCGCCUACCACGCCAUCGCCAACAGCAUCCUCAACGGCCCCUACACCAGCCCCAGGCUCCUCUGAUGAUCGUCCAAGGCCCGUCAUCGACGCGAUGAUCAGCAACUAAUCUGUCGUGGCAAAGACUGUGACUGUGAUGAGCUAGUAGUGGUAAUUAAAACUGUUGUGCGUGCUAGCGUGACACUGGAUGGGUAACUCGUAAUUAAAAUGGUGGAGUUUUGGGUUCUGAACUGUCUGAUGGGUUGGUUUUGGGUUCUGAACUUUUGCGCGGAGUGUGCCGCUGGCUUUUACGGCCAUCUCCUCAGUCGGUCGCAGUCAUGGCAGCAGCACUCAAACUCCAAACUCCACUAUUUUGGAGUGUGAUGGUCUGCUUGUAUUAGCAGAGGGGAUGGCCACAGCUGGUUCCGGUUCUGCGGUACUGGGCGUAUCUGACGAGUGACGAGGAAACACAAGUGACCAGUCAUCCUCCAUUCAAUUUAUACAGCCAAUGCAGCAGAUGGCUUUUGGGUUUCCUACCUUUCGUGCCGCCGGCCGGUGCCUGGUGCAAGGAUCGAUCAGCUCCUCCGGUGGUGGUUCGACGAACUGAAGCCAGCGCUUUGCCGCAAAGCAUCUGCAGGUAAAGAUCGGUGAUUCGCAACCGGGAGUUUUUGGUGGGCGUCCCACACCGCCUAGCCCAAUUCCAUGCUCCAGGCCGGGCUGAGAAAUCUCUUUUUUUUUUUGUUAGCAUGGUGGGCCGUUGGAACUAGGCCCCUCAGCCAGCAUAUAACAAACAGCUCGCAAGACAAUGGCCCAUUGGGCAUGUUUAUUUGACCGAUGAUGCUGCGGUGUGGGCACGUGGUUUGCAAUUUGCAUGGCAUGCGGCCAUGCAGACAGGUUUUUUCAACGGUACCACAGCUCCUCCUCUUCUUUUCUGGUGGCGUGUGGCAGCGGCGGCCCCGUACAACUACGGCCCGAAUGCAGAAUGGCGCUGUGAGCGCGCAGCUCCGUCCAAGGCGAUGAUCAACUUUGUCAAAUUUAGGAAAUUCAACUUAUUAAGAGAGAGCUAGGAUGAUAUUUUUAAAGGCAAAAUUUGCUCCCUCUUUGCUAGCGGACAUGCAAAAUAGAGCAGUUUGCUGGAAGACACUUUUGUUUGUGCUAAUUUUGCUGGAAGACACUUUGAGGAGGGAGAAUAUUUUUUUUGACAUCUAGUGCCCCUGCUUGUCCACGUUCCGUACGUGGUUCUCGACGAUGCUGAGGUUGAUGAGUCCGUCAGGGUUGUCGAGGGUUGUCGGAGCAGCGGCAGAGGCCGGCGUAGUAGAGCAAGUCCUCGUCCUCGGAGCGGACGACGACGCCGCGGGCGAAGAGCCCGGGGAGCGCGGCGCGCGGGGUGAGGAGGCCCCGCGAGUGGGAGCGGUGGAUCGGGGAGGCGGCCGUGGAGUUGGCGCUCCCCGCGGCGGAGGGGUAGACGGGGCCCGGCGGCGGGGACCCGGGCGCGGCGGCGGGGGGCGGUUGCGCUUGAUGUAGCACGAGGCUGCCUCGGCCCUGCACCACCCCCUGCAGCGACACCACGAUGCACAUCUCGUCGUCCGCACGCGGCCGCGCCGCCCUGUCGCGUGAUGUUGACGGCGGCGGCGGGUUCUUCUUCCUGCUCUUGCGGGCUGCGGUGGGGCUGAGGUCGUCGUCGUCGUCGUCCCUCAUGUGCGCGGGGGGUGCGGCUGCGGUGGCAGUCUGUGCUGCGGCGUCAUGGGGGGCGGCGCGCGGCGGCGCCGGGGCAGCAUAGGGUGGGGGUGGCAGGAUUCGGUUGGUGCGGGCGGGGGAUCUGGGGGUGGUGGUUGUGGUGGUGGUGGCCGUCUGGCUCUGGGCGAGGAGGAAAGGGAGGAGGUGGGGGACGCCGGGUUUGGCGUCUUGCUUGCCGCUUCUGGCAUCGGGCGGUGAACGAGCCAACCCCCGUUGGCUUGGCUUGGCUUCGGGCCUUGGGCGGAACAGCAGCUCAGGUGGCGGUGGGGUCUUGGGCGGAACAGCGGCUCAGCCGGAACGUGGACGAGCAGGGUACUAGAUGUCAAAAAAAUAUUCUCUCUCCUCAAAGUGUCUUUCAGCAAAAUUGGCACAAACAAAAAUAUCUUCUAGCAAACUGCUCUAUUUUGCAUGUCCGCUAGCAAAGAUGGGACACUUUUCAGUGUCCCGUAGCAAAUUUUGCCUUUUUUAAACGAAUGGGGGUACUCUAAAUCAUUAAUGAAAAUAUGGGACAAUGGUACAGUAAGUUUGGUUUAUAUCAAAGUCAACCCGUGCAUCCUAUUUGUGGAAUGAUGGACGGUACAAAGUAUGAAUACUAAUAUAAUAUGAGUGCAAAGUGUACGUGUGGUGUGAGUGCCGCUGGUGACCAAGAGCGUUACCAAGAUUUGGAAUCGUCGAUCCCUUGUCCAUGUCCAUCCGGCCCUAUAUACGCACUCCGGGCGAAUAUGUAUACGCACACCAGUUCCGAGCGAACAGGUUUCUGCCUACGUACCGGCGUGCCACCAUGAGGGUUUCCGUCGCUGCGCUCCUCGUCGUCGUCGUCGUGCUCCACGUCGCGGACGCCACCGUCCUCCGGCCCCAGAAGCUCUUGUUCCCGGCCAUUUUCAGCUUCGGUGACUCGUACGCCGACACCGGCAACUACAUCAUAGAGGUGGAUCCCAGGCCGUUCAACUUCUCACCUUACGGCGACACCUUGGGCCGCCCCACCGGCCGCGCAAGCGACGGCCUCCUCCCCGUCGACUUCGUCGGUACGUCGCCGCCAAUAAUGUUGCCGCCGCCGCCGCCGCCGCCGCUCUGAUAUCUGGUUACCGUCGACGCCGUACGGCAGUACUGAUCUCACAGCUCGUUUAUUCGUUCAAGCGUAGCGAAUGCUGUGGGCCUGCCUCUCGUGCCGCCGUACUUGGACAGGAGCCAAGACUUCAGCAAGGGCGCGAACUUCGCGGUCAUCGGGGCGAGGGCGCUGGACCAGGCCUUCUUCCUGGAGCAGAACGUCACCUCGCCGGCGGCUCCGAUGAACAGCUCCCUUAGUGUCCAGCUGCGGUGGUUCGAGGAGCUCAAGCCGUCGCUUUGCAAUGCCACAAAACUAGAUUGCGAUGACUACUUGGGCAAGUCCCUCUUCUUCGUGGGAGAGUUCGGCGGGAACGACUACCUCGCCUUCCUGUCCGCCAAGAGCGUCGAGCAAACGACGCAAACCUUCGUCCCGGUCGUCAUCAACGCCAUUGCCGCCGCUGCAGAGGUACUCAAACCUAUAUACAUCAAUUCAGAACCGACUAUACUAUAUAUAGUUGUUUCCUUUCUUUUAGAAAGAAAAUGCACUCACGCAUGGCGUGCCUGUGCGCAGAGGCUCAUCCAGCACGGCGCCAGGCGCAUCGUCUUGCCGGGGAACAUACCCAUGGGCUGCCUCCCUGCCAUCCUGACGCUGUACCCGAGCCCGAACGCGUCGGACUACGACAGCUACGGGUGCCUCGACAAGUUCAACGCCCUCGCACGCUACCACAACGAGCUUCUCCGGAGGUCGGCGCGGGAGCUCCGAGCCAAGUACCCGCGCGCCGCGAUCGCCUUCGCCGACUACUACCAGCCCGUCCUCGCGUUCCUCACGGCGCCGGCGCUCUUCGGUGAGAUCGAUCACGAGUCCACCCUAGCUAUAGCUACCUGUUGGCAUAAGGCCAACACACGAAAGUUGUGUGGGUCGCGAAAAGACCGAACGGCAGUAUACUGCCCAGACUGGUCAGAUCGGGCCAGCAAACCGGUUAGACCGGUUUCUAGGGUUUUGCCUGGAUCGAUUGCUCGAGGGGAUAACUACCACGCUUACGUGAUGGAGGACGGCUAUGUUUACGAGCAAAUUAGCAAAAUGAUAACCAACACACUUACGUGGUGAAGAAAAACUAGUUUACAAGCAAGCUAGCAAAGGCUGUCAAAGCUCUCACUCGGGAGGGACCCCGUUAGGACGUGGACGUUGCCGGCGUGCCCUAAGUCGAUCAGCAAGUCUAGGACGCCAUCUCUGGUCGUGGAGAUUAGUAGACGAACAGCAAGAGAGGUUGGAAAAGAUUUAGGAUUUAGGAGAUAAAAAGUAAGUGCAUAGUUGUUUGAUUUGAUUGGGUUGCACUCAAUCGGCCGUGGCCCUUUAUAUUUAUAGGGUGAGGAGGUCUUGCCGGAGUAGGAGUUAAAGAUUACACAAAUCCUGUGUCAAAAUACAACUAAUAACUCGAAUUAAGCUGGUCAAACCGGUCAGACCGCCCAUCCAAACUGGUCUGACCGGUCUGCGCAGAGCUGAAUUUUGCUAGAGCCAUAACUCUCUCAUCCGGAUUCCAAAUUGAACGUUCUACAUAUUCAUUUCAAUCGUCUCGAUGAGAUCUACACAAUGGUGAAGUCCAAUCAUAAAUUUGAUAAUGUUUGUAAAAUCGGUCUGACCGGUUUGUAGACCAAUUUGUCCAAACCCAUGCCCGACUUAUCCAUUCAUCGUACACAUCCUGCUAGCUUGAACAAUGAACAGAGCUUGGAACCAGCUGGCUCUGAGACGACUGUGCGACGGGUGCAGGGUUCGACAGGAGCACGACGCUGGUGGCGUGCUGCGGCGGUGGCGGCGAGUACAACUUCAACGCCACCGCGUUCUGCGGCUUCCCGCCGGCGACGGCGUGCGAGGACCCGUCUAGGUCGGUGAGCUGGGACGGCAUCCACCUCACGCAGCCGGCGUUCAGGAAAAUCGCCAGGUCGUGGCUGCACGGCCCGUCGUCGGUGCCGCCGAUACUGACCCUUGCCCUCGAGCUUUGAUCCGUUUGAACUUGCAGGGACUGCUACCGUUGGUUUUCGUUACUAUCUCUACGUACUCGUUGCAGCAUGGCCUUUUCCAGACUAUAUAUAACACUAUUGAAUUAAAUAAAUGUAAGAUGCAACAUUAUUGGGACACGUGACAUCGACUUGUUAUUGAGCCAUGGAGCGGUUUUCCUUCCACUGCUUGUCCUAUAUAUGCAUGUACUCCCAUGAACUAAUCUACGUCAUGUCAUACAUAAAAGGAAGGAGGGAGUACCAAAUAUCCUACAUAUAUGUACGUACUCCCAUGAACUAAUCACGGUAGACUCGAGCGCGGCACGUCGCAGGGACCGUGCAACUUCACAAGUAACUGGUGUAGCACUAGCUUGCUUCUGCAAAACCAUUAGAACCGCAUGAUACUCGGCCCUGCAUUGGACGAGAUCUACAAAAUGGUAACUCGAUGCUACCAUUAAGGACAGCGCAACCGCAACGGAGUCCGAUCUCCCAGGUGCGACGGCGUGCACAUACCAUCCAUGAUGGUGAAGUGGGACGCCAUACACCUCAUGAAGUUGGCAUACAUGAACAUCGCUAGAACAUGCAUGAUUACACCUGGGGCGGAUCCAGGGCGCAGGGGGGCUCAAGCCCCCCUACCUGGAGUUGAAAUCCUUCGAAUAAAGACAUCAGCAAGCCUUUGGUGAAGAUGACGGAUAUUGGAACAUAGUUGAUCCAUGUACACGGAUGGGACAGAAGAGUGACGCGUUCAUGGACAAGGUGCACGUCAAUCUUCAUAUACUAGGCGCUGGAGAGAUAAAAAGGGCAGGUCUGGUCAUGGUCCUGGCAACGGAUCCAAACUCAAGUGCUCUAAAAUCGGACUCCUUUUUUGUUUGCGAAAAAAAAUCGGACGCCUUUGAUGUUGUCUUAGUAGGCUAGAGUGGCACGUUGCAUAACUAGCUUAGUCAACUCGCUUCUACAACUCAGCCUAAGUACUAGAAAGACAUCCCGACGCCGGUGGGGAUUUCCAAAGUUGCUAUGUAUGGGAAUUUUCAAAUCUAUCAUUACACACAAUUUCCCAAGAAAGAUGUCUUGGCCUUUUAAAGAAACUUUUUCUAGCGAUUUUCAACACCGUUUAGUAGUCUAGGUUUAGAAAUGUCCAUAGACGAUCGUUAUAAUGACAAUGCACCUAGCACAUUGUAACCAAUUACCGAAAAGUGAAAGAUACAAUGAUCAUAAACAUGCAAGGGUUCCUAAUUCUAGCAUCAACGAACUCCCUCCGUACUCGAUUACAAUUCAGUUUAGCUUUGACCUAUGUCAAAUGCUCUAAAUCUGACUAAAUUUUUAGAAAAAUAUAUUACCAUCUAUAAUACAAACAAAUACACUUCCAAGACAUUGUAUAGACUACAAAAAUGAGCUACGGAUCUAAACCGUUCGUGAGGCCAUAUUUAAAACGUCACCAAUGGUCUGGGCAAGUUUAUCAUUUUUUGCUCUUUUGCAAAUACACGAGAUGCACGUCUGGAUUUGGAACCGUGUUUUUUUUAAAAAAAAUCAACCCAUAAAAUUUUUGCCAAUAAGGUAUAAAGAAAUUUAAAAAGUUCCUUUGAAGACUAUAUUGGUCCACAAGGCCAUUAAGCUUAAUGGGCCUUUCUGAACAAAAUGUAAACGGCGGACCAUGGACAAGGAAAUGGACAUUACCGCUCGACGGCAAUUUACAAAAGUGGCACCGACACCGACCCAUCUGCUUUUGCUGUCUUUGCUUAAUGGCGUCAGCAUUAUUCCUAAAAUUUGUUUAGAGAUUGUUUAGUAUCAGGUCAACGAGUGGUGCGCUAUCGAAAUCUGAAUCUGCAAAUCGCUGUACCCGAUUUGCUAUAUAUUUACUCUGAAGGUCCAAAAUGAUCGGCGUACAAUCUGGGAAUGCCGGCCGAGCCGUAGUCUCUCUCGAGCGGCAUUUGGUAAUCGUUUCGUUACCGUGAUCCAGUGAUUCUGCAGCCAUGAGGAGUCCCGUCAUCGCCGCCGUGGUCCUCCUCCUCGGCUCGUUCCUGCUCCACGGCGCGGACGCCGGCCACCGGCCCAAGCCCUCCUUUACCGCCAUAUUCAGCUUCGGCAACUCCUACGCCGACACCGGCAACUUCGUCAGGUUCGCCGCGCCCUUCAUCCCCGUCAUCCCUUUCAACAACCUCCCCUACGGCGAGACCUUCUUCCACAAGCCUACCGGCCGGGCCAGCAACGGCCGCAUCAUCCUCGACUUCAUCGGUACGCUCCUACGCCAUCGAUGUUGCCGCCGCCGCCGCUCUGAACAAACAUGCUUCAAUUCGCCUGACAUGGAUUUGCAUGCGCACGCAGCUGAAGCUUACGGUCUGCCGUUGGUGCCGCCGUCCCUGGACACGACGCAGAGCUUCAGCAAGGGCGCGAACUUCGCGGUCGUGGGGGCGACGGCCCUGGACCUGUCCUACUUCAUGGAGCGCAACAUCACCUCCGUUCCCCCGUUCAACAGCUCGUUCAGCGUCCAGAUCGGGUGGUUCGAGCAGCUUCUCAAGACGUCGCUCUGCAACAACACCGCCAAGGGAAAAUGCGACGAUUACCUGAAAAAGUCUCUCUUCGUCAUGGGCGAGUUCGGCGGGAACGACUACGUUUUCCUCCUCGCCGCCAACAAGACCGUCGAGCAAACGAAAACCUACGUUCCCGCCGUCGUCAAGGCCAUCGCCGGCGGCGUCGAGGUACUCAACAGUGAAUACUCACCGGCCGGCCCUGAUCCUCCUCCUCUGAUGACCUGAUCGGUUGACCAACGCGCGUGUGGGUGCAGAAGUUGAUCAAGCACGGCGCCAGGCGCAUCGUGGUGCCGGGGAACCUGCCGACGGGCUGCAUCCCGAUCAUGCUGACGCUGUACGCGAGCCCCAACAAGGCGGACUACGACAGGUACGGGUGCCUCGACAAGCUCAACGGCCUGGCGCGCUACCACAACGCCUUUCUCCGGCGCGAGGUCAUGGCGCUCCGGAUCAAGUACCCGGGCACCAAGAUCGCCUACGCCGACUACUUCUGGCCCGUCGUCGGGUUCCUCCAGAACCCGGCCAACUCCGGUGAGAUCAUCGAUCGCGUGCCAACUAGAACGCCGUCCGAACUAUACUCGAAACCGAACUGUAACUAACUAAAGCCGUCGGGAUGCGACGCAUGGCGGCGGUGGUACGUGCAGGUUUCGACGGCAGCACGGCGCUGGUGGCGUGCUGCGGCGCCGGCGGCAGGUACAACUACAACGUCACGGCGGCGUGCGGGUUCCCCGGCGCGACGGCGUGCGCGGACCCGUCCAGGGCGGUGAACUGGGACGGCAUCCACCUCACGGAGGCGGCGUACAGGGACAUCGCCGGAGGAUGGCUGCGAGGCCCGUUCGCGCAACCGCCCAUACUGAGCCUCGCGCGUUGAAACACUGCUUGGAGCUUGGAUUGACCCUUGAGGGAGUGGAGCCUUUGGCUCUGACCUGGUGUGUGCGUUGCGUACAGGAGAUUGAAAAGGUGUUUCUUUUUUCCUUCGUUUUGACCUGUGUGUUUCUUUAUUGUUACUACUACAUUUGAACUCUUGUUAUUAAGGGUCUGUUUGGUAACAAGGUUAGUUUAACACCCGUCACAUCGGAUGCUUGGAUGCUAAUUAGAAGUAUUAAACAUAGGCUAAUUACAAAACUAAUUGCACAGAUGGAGUGUAAUUCGCGAGACGAAUCUAUUAAGCCUAAUUAGUCUAUAAUUUGACAAUGUGGUGCUACAGUAACCAUUUGUUAAUGAUGAAUUAAUUAGGCUUAAUAGAUUCGUCUCGCGAAUUAGCACAGAGUUCUGCAAUGUUUAGUUCUCCUAAUUAGCAUCCGAACAUUCGAUAUGACACUGUUAAAGUUUAACACCUCGUAUCCAAACACCGCCUAAGAAUAAAAUGUGACCUUUUCAAGACUUCGACUGAAUUGAUACUUUAACAGCUGCUUGUUUCAGUAGCCAUGACCAUGAGCCCCAAACGUCAACGAUCCAACCGAAACCUUUUCAUUCUUGCUCUGAGGAGGAAAGAAAAUAAUGUGACGGUGUGACUCGUUCGUGCUAGUACCAGUAAGUACCGUAUGUCUGGGCCAAACAAUUAACUUGGCAGUUGGCACCACCACUUCAUUGAUUUUUUUGAACUGAACGGCAAAAGAUUUGCCAUAAUUUUUAUUACUAGACCAAACAACUGAAAAACAACUCAACGCUCUCCACAACUGACUUUAUUGAUUCAGAGUCUGUUUAGGAGCACUCCACUUCCCAAAAACCAGCUCCACUCCAUCAGCUCCAUACUUUUCCAGCUCCACUCCACUAACUCCAAAAAAUAUGGAGCUGAUGGACGUGUUUGGCUGAUUGCAGUACUCCAGCUCCAAAAACAUGAAGAUUUGUUGUGAAUAGUCUAUUUUACCCAUCGUAAAUGGACCCACGUGUCAUCCUCUCCUCUUUUCUCCCCUCCUCUCCCCCUCUCUUCUCUCAGGCGACCACCGAGCAGUACGCGUUUCAGGAUGGAACGGCCAGCACAAACUUGCAGGUGAGACUGUGAUCCUGAAGCCACUGAACUGAAUUGAACAAUCGUUCCGAGCAUUAUCCUAACGUAGUUGGGUUUGCAUUCUUUCUCCAGCAAAGGAACUUCUGGGAGGCUCUGAACAUCAGUGGCAGCAGCAGCGACGAGUGAAGCUCUGAAUCUAACAGUCUGUGUAGCGUGUAGGCCCUUGGAGACGACGAAUCCCUUUGCCAUCAUCCUUCCUGCCUGUAGGGUGCUGUAAUUCUUUUUUCAUAUUUUCACCGCGAUUAGUAUUCUCAAGAUAGCAGUAACAGCCAUCAUCUGAUAGUUUAAUUAAAAUUUUGUGUAUAAGAAGAAUACUCCUCUGCUCGCCCUCACCAGCAGAUGGCCUCCUGCAGCGCGCUCCACCCUUGCUUGUUCUGCAGGCUCCAGUCUGCGCCCGCCGAGACGGCAUCAGUGGCAUGUCGCGGUGGCAUCUGGUCGCCCGUCUGAGCACAACAUCAGUGGCAUGUCGCGGCGGUCGACGACCUUCGAGACGGCCUUGGCGCGGGCCUCCUCGGUGACGGAGUCCGCCUCCGUCCAGAUCUCCUCGAGCGGCCCCGCGGGAGCGCGUCCAGCACACGGCGUGGUGAGCUGGGCUGUGCGCUUACCUCGCCGCGUCCACGCUGGCCAUCCGCGGCGCCGGUGAACCAACCAGAUGGGGAUGCGCCCGGACCAAAUGACGCGGAUGCAGUCCAGCGCCCAGAUGGGGCUCCGCGGCCUCCGGUAUCUCGACAAGACCUCCGGCGGGAAGGAGGGGUGGAAGGCCGUCGAGCGUCGCUUUGACGAGAUGACAAAGGGCAGCGGGCGACUUCUCACAGAGGUUCGGCGCGGUCUGGCGGGGCGAAGAGGUUCGGCGGCGCCCGGCGCUGCCUGGCCUACGGUUCCUCACGAGGGAGGAGUCACGGGGAAAGAGAAGGGGCGCGCGGAUGGGGGUGUUUUGUUUCUGAUUGCGAACCGGUACGUGUGUAACCGAUGGCAGUGGUGGAUAAAUAUCCACCAACUCCAUGAGGAGGUUUGAAAAGGGAGUUUUUGGAGCACCUCCUGAGGUACUUCAAGAAAAACGUGGAUCUGACCCUUGCUUCACGUUUUUCCUGGAGCCGGAGUUGCUGGAGCUAGACGUGUUUGGCUGCGAAAUUUUUGAAGUUGGUGGAGUGGAGCAAUUUUUCCUGGAGUGGAGUGCUCCCAAAUAGACCAUCGUUCAUUCAGCAGCUUUGUUAAACUUCGCGCUCGCUGCAUAUAUGAUUGGAGGGAAAGAAAUUCGUAAGGCCUGAAGCACAACAGAUCUGGCCUUGUGGGCAGUGGCCCAGUAUCGAGUGAUGCAGCCCAUCUUUCAUGUCCUUUAAAUCGUGCACUUUCAGCCUUUUUGCGCAUAUAGAGAAAGUGGGUGUUUUUUUUGCUUUUGGAAACAUAUAAAGCACCUCACGGUUAGAUCAUAUAUGUUGCGCAGUUGUGCAUGACAGUGGGCUAUGAUAAUGUAUUUUAUCAUUUUUUACAGGGACGUUUGUCCUUCAUUGAUGCUUCUAUCAAUUAUUCUUCUGUCUUGUUAUUAUUUGUCAUUUCAUUUUGUUCGACCAAACAAUCUCCUUUUUUAUACAAAAUAUGUAUUUAUUUCGUGAAUCAUUAAUAUUGUUUUUGUGUCAUUUUAUUCAUCAUACCUAACAAAAACACGUCCAUUAUCUUCACUCCCACUUCAUAUUUAUAGUAUUUUAGUUUAUCUAUUUUUUUUAUCUUGGCGGCUGAUUGGACCAUUUGUCUUCAUUUUUCAUUUUUGGCUGAAUUUUCAGAUCAUUAUUGAAAUGCCAAUGCCUCAUUAAGCAUGACUUUUGUAAAAGAGAUGUUGUGCUUGUCUGCUUGAGAGUUGAGACUAAGGAAUAGGAAAUUUCUAAUCUACUGUAGAUGUUACAGUUCUGUACUUUUCAUCUACUAUGAAAAUGUUUGUUACUUUAUGUACAUUUGGAUAUUUUUCACUCCCGUUUCCAAUACUUGUCGUCUAUAUUUCAAAGUGGGUGGGUGCUCAUUUGCACAUAUUUAAUUUGUUUCUUUUUCCGAGUUCUAUUUAAGGAUGGCCAUGAACUGGUUUGGCCCACUGGAUCAUCGAUCCGCUCAAAAAAAAAAAGAGUGGGAUGGGCCACCGGUAGACCCGAGCAAAAUUAGGGCAACAGUAGCUGUAGCUGUCCCAUCUGCCACCAAACCUCACGGGCAGCAGUGAUCGGCUGAUUUCUGCGCGCGUGUUUCACGAGCUGACGAGGUCUGUUGUUGUUGGAGGUGCCCACUUAGAUGCCAUAUCAGUUAGUGUACGUCAAUGCAGUUGGUGGAUCAAUCGCGAUCCAGAUAAACUUUAUUCGGGACUUCUCAAUGCUUCGACACCGAGCCAAGAUCUUUGAUAUUCCCUCGGAACCGAUGAAAAAGUGGAUCGCUUUUUUAUGGACUCGCUCAGAAUGAUUCUUCUCUCUUCUAUCUAUAGUCAUGGCCUAUUAGAAAUAGAAGGUACUCUGGUGCAAUCCUUACCGACAGAAAAAGAUACAAACUCUAAUCCCUUUGAUGGAAGUAUGGAUGCAUAGCUUUUAGUCUGUUAUCAGGUCCUGGUUCAUCUUAGUUGCUCUUUCUUCAAAAAAGAUUUUAUCCUUUUUCCGUAAGCUCCUUCUUUUGUAAUGCUCUGCUCCCCUAUCUCUGCUUCGCUAGCUUGUUUUGUAUCGGUAUUCUACUUUUUAUAAGUAACAUGUAUAAUCAGUAGGGGAUAAACCUCUCACGUUUCCUUAAAAAAAAUCGCGAUCCAGAUCUGGAUCCAUUGGUGCAAAUGGAUGUAUCAUUUUUGCCCGGUCCACGUCAAGGUACUAGCGUUUAGCGGCAUGGUAGCGGACUAGUGCCGGUGUAGCAGAUCGCGGAUAGCGGGUGCUAUAGCUAACGCUAAGUCUAAAUAGCAGAAUUUAAAACAUAGUCAUAAUUUUAGAGCAUAUAUGAAUAUUAACAUCAAAUUUACUUAUAAAAAGUUAUAGUUUUAAGUUAGCCAUUAUUGGUAAGAAUCACAAAUAAAUAGGUAUAAUUAAGAUGUAUGGAUAUAUAUUAACAUUAAAUUCACAUAUCAAUAAAUAAAAAAAUUUAUUUUCAUCCAAUAACUCUUCGUCACUACCUAAAUAACCAUUUUAAACAUUAUUAUUACUAUUUGAUUCAUAUUCAUAUGUCACUUGAACUGUAAUAUAGCGAAUAGCGGUCUAACAUGAGCAAUAGCGGGCAAUAGCGGACAAUAGCGGCUGCUAAGUCCAAACAUGCUACCUUGGGUAGGUAGCGGUAGCGGCCGCUAUUGUGGGCGCUACGAAUGCUAUUUAGUACCUUGGUCCACGUGCAAUAAUUGACUAUCAUGGUGUGUGGCGUGUCUUGAGGAAUACCGGUACCACUGAAAGAAAAAUAUGAUUGUGUACAAUGUUAAAGGAUAGGUAUGUCUCUCGUAAAGAGUCUUAUGUUAACACGUCAAAUGAAUGUGAUGAUAUUGGAUACGUAGAUGCGUUGGUUAAACCUCGACUACAGAUAGAUCUUGCAUAGAUAGAGAAGGUUUAAACCAUCUGUGUCUUGUAUCACAAGUUAUAAUCAAACUCUUGUAAUCUGUUGGGGAUUUCCCUAUAUUAACAUGGAGCCGUGAGCUAGCCUAGGUAGGCAGCCAUGUUCACCUAAUUACCACUACUUCUUUCAUGAUAAUUAGAGCUACUUCCUCAAAAUACAUCUACUGCCAUGGCCUCCAGUUCCUCGUCAUUGUCAAGUGCUCUCGGGCCGCCAGUCUCCGAGAAGCUCAAGCGAGAGAACUUCAUUCUUUGGAAGGCCCAGGUGUUGCCGCCGAUCAGGGGUGCUUGCCUUCUUGGAAUCCUUGACGGUUCAAUUCCGGCACCACAAAAAACAAUCCAAGAUGACAAGAAGAAUGACGUCUCCAACCCGGCGUAUGAGAUAUGGCUGGCGCAAGACCAGCAGGUACUCAGCCAUCUCGUCAACUCCCUAUCGUCCACAGUGUUGGCACAGGUAGCUACGUUGACAUCGUCGUCCGAAGUUUGGGUGGCAUUGGAAGACAUGUACUCGGCACAAUCACGUGCACGAGUAACCAAUCUACGGAUGCAACUUGCAAGCCUCAAGAAGGGAAGCAUGGACAUCUCAAUGUACUUCAACAAGAUGAAGUCAUCAAUCAUCACAUGCCAGUAGAGCUUCUUCGUUAGGAAAAACCCGACUAUGCCUCUCUUCGUGUCUUUGGAUGUGCAUGCUAGCCGAAUCUUAGGCCCUUCAACACAAGGAAACUUGCAUUCCAUUCCAAAAGAUGUGCCUUUCUUGGUUAUAGAUCUAUUCACAAAGGGUUCAAGUGCCUUGAUAUUCCAAUUGGCCGUGUGUAUAUCUCUCGUGAUGUAAUCUUCGAUGAAUCUAUUUUCCUUUUGAAACUCUCCAUGAAAACGCUGGUGCUCGUCUUCGUCAAGAAAUUUUUCUUUUACCGGAUCACCUUUUGAAUAAUAGUUCCAGGGAUGUAAGUUGUAAUGCUAAUAGUACUGAUGAUCAUAAUCCAAAUCAUGGUUCUAGCAGAAACCUGGCCAGCACAGAAAACGAUGAUGAUCCACCGACGCCUGCGAGCACUAAUUUCCAGGGGGAUCCAUUGGCGUCUGCGCCUUCCUCGUCCGCCCGAAUGAUGCCGCCAGCUAGCCAGGCGUUGUCGCAUGGUGUCCGGUCUCCACCCGCCAGCCCGAGCGCACCGCGUGCCGCCCUGUCUCCACCCGCGUGGCACGCCAGGACAGGCGGGGGCCGUUGCAGCACCAACGCCCGUGCUAGGACAGCACGUCUCAAUUCUGGUGGAAGCGGAGAUUUUAUCUCCCAGAUCUUCUACGGCUCCGGAUUUUGCUGAUUCAACACCAAAUCCUCCUCGGCUAAGGACAAGAUCUCAAAUUAGCAUUGUUAAACAAAAGCAGUAUAUAGAUGGGAUUGUUAGAUAUGGGUUCUUUUCUUCUACAGGAGAACCACAUACUCCAGAGGAAGCACUUAGUGAUCACAGGUGGACAAAAGCAAUGGAAGAGGAGCUUAUGGCGCUUCAUAAAAACAAGACUUGGCACUUGGUUCCUCCCUCCAAAGGAAACAAUCUUAUUGAUUGCAAAUGGGUGUAUAAAUUAAAGCGAAAGGCUGAUAGGAGUAUAGAUCGUUACAAAGCAAGAUUGGUGGCUAAGGGAUUUAAACAAAGAUAUGGUAUUAAUUAUGAAGAUACUAUUAGCCCUGUUGUGAAAAUUGCUACUGUUCGACUUCUGUUAACUAUAGCAGUCUCGAGGGGCUGGUGUUUGAGGCAAUUAGAUAUACAGAAUGCGUUUCUUCAUGGUGUUCUUGAGGAAGAGGUUUACAUGAGACAACCUCCAGGCUUUGAGGAUGCAAAAUUUUCAAACUAUGUUUGUAAGUUGGAUAAAGCUAUUUAUGGGUUAAAGCAAGCUCCGAGGACCUAGUAUUCACGGUUGAGUUCAAAAUUACUUGAUCUUGGGUUUAGAGCAUCCAAGUCUGAUGCGUCAUUAUUUAUUUAUUUCAAGUAGAACACAACCAUAUUUAUGCUCAUAUAUGUUGAUGAUAUCAUAGUAACAGGGUCAUCCAUGGAUGCGAUUUCAGCUUUACUUAAAGAUCUACGUGCAGAUUUUGCUCUUAAAGAUUUGAAAAAUAUGAAUUAUUUUCUUGGGAUUGAAGUCAAACCAACUCAAGGAGGCAUUAUAUUGUCGCAAACAAAGUAUGCUUCGGAUGUUUUGAAGAGAGUUGGCAUGACAAAUUGUAAGUCUUCUUCGACUCCUUUGGCAGCCUCAGAAAAAAUUUUCUAUCAAGACGGAACUUUACUAUCAUUAGAAGAUGGUACAAGAUAUCACAGUAUUGUUGGGCCUUGCAGUAUUUAACUCUCACACGUCCUGAUUUAGCUUUUGCUGUUAACAAAGUGUGUCAAUUUCUGUAUGCUCCUACAACUGUUCACUAGGCGGCUGUUAAAAAAAUUCUGAGGUAUGUGAAAGGGACACUGAAUAUUGGGCUUGAGAUAAGUAAGUCAUCUUCUAAUUUGACAAGUGCUUUCUCUUAUGCGGAUUGGGCCGGUAGCAUUGAUGAUAGAAGGUCUACCGGUGGAUUUGAUGUUUAUUUUGGUCCGAAUUUAAUCUCAUGAAGUGCUAGAAAACAUGCAACUGUGUCUAGAUCAAGCACUGAAGCAGAGUAUAAAUCAUUGGCCAAUGCUACAGCUGAGACUAUUUGGGUAGAACCGUUACUAUCCGAAUUGGGCGUGAAAUAAAGGAAUCACCUUACCUAUGGUGUGACAACCUUGGUGCAACUUAUUUAUCAGCUAAUCCUGUCUUUCAUGCACGAGCUAAACAUAUUGAGAUUGAUUUUCACUUUGUAAGAGAAAGGGUAGCAAGUAAGCAGUCAGAGAUUCGCUUUAUUCCAUCUAAAGAUCAGCUGCCUGAUGGUUUCAUCGAGGCACUUCCAGCUCGGGAGUUUGAGAAAUUCAAAGGCAAUCUAAACCUCAGAAGCAAGUCUGGUUAAGAUUGAGGGAAGCUGUUAAAGGAUAGGUAUGUCUCUUGUAAAGAGUUUUGUGUUAACAUGUCAAAUGAACGUGAUGACAUUGGAUACGUAGAUGCGUUGGUUAAACCUUGACUACAGAUAGAUCUUGUAUAGAUGGAGAAGGUUUAAAUCAUCUGUGUCUUGUAUCACAAGUUGUAAUCAAACUCUUGUAAUCUGUUGGGGGUUUCCCCUGUAUUAACAUGGAGCCGUGCGCUAGCUUAGGUAGGCAGCCACGUUCACCUAAUUACCAUUACUUCUUUCAAGACUUUCUAGACCAAACUAACUCCAAAUAUAGCUCGUUUGAGCAGCUAAUGCGCAUUAUGCAACAAUUAAGAUUGAGCAAAAACUUAUGCAACAAGGAAAGGAAAGAAGAAAUCAACACUUGAAGUUAUAGCCGCAACACACAACUAUUGAUGGCCUAAGUGUCACAUUAUUAAUUUCAUAAUCCCGAUCAACUGCGGUCUCUCUCUGUCACUUGCAUUGCACCACAGCACCGGCAUCCAAUCUGGCUGACUUAGGCCCUGUUUUCUUCCACUGACUUAUUUUUAGCACCCGUCACAUCGAAUGUUUAGAUACUAAUUAGGAGUAUUAAACGUAGACUAUUUACAAAACCCAUUACAUAAG
This 54664-nucleotide long non-coding RNA is filed under the name Setaria italica (foxtail millet). RNAcentral describes it as "long non-coding RNA (SITA_LNC003624)". The record is from RNAcentral. Lineage: Eukaryota; Viridiplantae; Streptophyta; Magnoliopsida; Poales; Poaceae.